Molecule: long non-coding RNA, 50497 nt
Filed under: Triticum aestivum (bread wheat)
Lineage: Eukaryota; Viridiplantae; Streptophyta; Magnoliopsida; Poales; Poaceae
Description: long non-coding RNA (TAES_LNC028654)
Rfam family: MIR1120/MIR1122 microRNA precursor family (bases 8799-8885)
Source: RNAcentral
CGGGGCAAGGCCCAGCUGACGUCGGAAGCGUCGACGCCCGCCCACCUGAUCGUCCCCGUCUCGAGAAGCCUCCCUCUCGACGAUGGGCUUUGGUUCGUGGUCCAGAACAAGACCGACGUCGAGUCCACGCGCGUCGCCGUGCCGGCCAACGCUUACCGCGCGGUGCUCGAGGUCUACGUCUCGUCCCACUACUCCGACGAGUUCUGGUACAUGAACACGCCGGACCAGAACGGGCCGUUCCGCGAGGUCACUGUCCGGCUCGACGGCGACGUCGUCGGUGCCGUGUGGCCGUUCCCGGUGAUCUACACCGGCGGCAUCAACCCCCUCAUCUGGCGCCCAAUCACCAGCAUUGGCUCGUUCAAUCUGCCCACCUACGACAUCGAGCUCACGCCGUUCUUGGGGAAGCUGCUGGACGGCAAGGAGCACGAGGUCGGGUUCGCGGUGACCAACGCGCAGAACUCGUGGUACGUGAACGGCAACCUCCACCUCUGGCUCGACCCCAAGAGCUCCACGACCACCGGCGGCCUCAUCUCCUACGACGCGCCGAAGCUGUCGGGGAGCAUCACAUCGCACUCCGUGGACGGCAUCGACGGGGAGUACCGCGCGACGGCGAGCCGCAACAUCUCGAUCACGGGGUGGGUAAGCUCGUCGCGCGGCAACAUCACCACCACGUUCGCCCAGCGGCUCAGCUUCGCGAACUCGAACGUGGUGAGCAACAAGGGCAGCUCGCAGGUGAUCAACCAGACCACCGACGCUCACGCCGACGUCGGCGGCGGCGCGUACGCGCAGCAGGUGCACCAGAGCUUCCCGCUCUACAUCUUCCAGGGCGGCGACGGCAGCGGCACCUCCUCGCAGCGGCUGAAGCGGCGCGUGGAGAUCGGGUUCGUGGAGUCCCGCGCGGGCGCCGGCGGGGCGGGGACGAGCACGCUGCGCAACGAGCAGGUGGCGGAGGCGGAGGUGGUGCUCCGGGACGACCAGGUGGCCGGCGCGUCGUGGCGGAUGCACCAGGUGUACAACUACGGCGCCAGCAACGGCGGCUGCUACUUGAGGAACGUGACCAGCGUCGGCUACGACGUGCUUUUCGACCAUGACGUGGCGUCGUGCGCCGGGACGCGCCGACGUUGACGGCUGUCGGCCGGCGCCCGCCUACGUGGUAGAUGGCCGGGAUAACGGCCAGGAAGGGACCUGGUGUAAACUGUAAUGGGAACAGAAGUGGGCCCUAAUAGUUUCGUACUACUAUAGUCUUUGCGUUGUGAUGGGUCGUCUCGUGUCCUUAGCUCUGAAUAAGAAAGGAGUGACGUGAUGUAUAUGUAACCAAAAUAUAAAGACGAACAUGGUUAUGCGCAUUUAGGCCAAAACUCCUACGCGGCGUACAAUUUGGUUUGCGUGUCUGUUCGAAUCAAAACGAAUAGAAACGUACGCCGCAUAUUAGAGUUGACUGAAGUCAAACUUUAUAAAGUUUUGACCAAAUUUAUAAAAUAUAUAUAUAAAUAUAAAUAUUUAGCAUAACAAAUCUAUAUGAUGUGGAAGUCAUUCAACAACGAAUAUAAUGGUAUUAAUUUGUUAUUGUAUAUGUUAAUAUUUUUGCCUAUAAACUUUGUUAAAGUUUGUAAAGCUUGACUUUGAGCAAAACUAAUAUGCGAAGUAAAUAAAAACGGAGGGAGUACUUACAUUGCGUUUCUUUGGUGUCCGUCCAAACACAUUUUCAGUUCAAAUUUGUGUCAGAUUUGCGUCCACGAGUCCGCUAGGUGUUCGCCUUGGGAUCGUGCUUUGACCAUCCAACGUGUUCGGAUAUGGGUUCGAAACGAUGAACGUUCAAACAUGGACGUGUUAACAUGGGAAGGCUUGACAAAAAGAAAAAGCGGAGCGGGGAACCACCUUUUUUUUAUAGAAUUUUUUUUAAUUUUGAAAACAACCAUAGCUCUUUUUAGAUAUAAUACGCAUAUAUAGGAGAGAAGAUUGCAUCCGGAAUCGUGUCUAUUUUAUACUUUUUUUACACGAAUCCGAAAUUGUGUCUAUUUUAGAGUGUGCAAUACUUAUAGCACAUCUAAAUGUGUUUUAGCAAACAGUUUGACUAAUUCACAUCUAGAUGUUUUUUAAGGAUGUCAUAUCUAAGUUCUUACAAAUAUAUAAUGCAGCAACAAAAAACAAAAAAAUAAAACAAAAAAAUAAACCACGAACUGAAUGGACAACAGCUUAGACGUGACAUAACUAUGUCACAUCUUGAUGUGUCCUAGACAGACCCUUUAGCAAAACUGUAUUUUAUAUUUUGUCGGGAAUCCGAUAUCGUGUCUCAGCGGAUCUGAUUCUCUUCAAACUUGGUAUCCAAACAAUCCGUCUAUAAAUAAAGGAGAUAACCUGACGUGCUGUUACACCGUAGAACAGAAUAGGCUGCGGGGAUUUGUGCAAGCAAACAAUAAAUCCACAACCACGCAUAGAGGCUUGCGGGGGGAUUCGGGGAAGCAAGCUCUUGAAGGAGAGAUGGGGGAGAUCCAUCGAGGCAGCAGAUGGGGGAGAAAGGCCGCCGUCGCCGGCGCCCAUCACAGAAAAGAGCGGCGCGAUGAGACGGAGGCGCAGAGGGUAGAGCGGCUGCAGCUGCAGGCAACUCUGGCGUUUGUGAAGGCGGCGCACGCGGACACCAUGCUUUACCUUGACAUGGAGGAGUACCGGAGGGCGGGCAAGCUCCACACUUACGACGAGGCCAAGGAGUGGUAGAAGCGUCUCGCCAGGGUCGCCAAACUCUACCCGCCUCCCAAGCACAUCAUGGAAAAGAUCAGUGAAUAUACCAAGUACCUCGAGGAAGACGAGGACGACUUCAGGAUAGGCCUUUGUCAAUUGAUCGAGGUGAAAUCAGAUUUCGAGAAAUCCUUUUAGUGAGCGACGCUCCGCGCGGAGUGGUGUUCGUCCUUCUCUUGGCAUCGUGGUUCGUAUUUGUCGUGCGGUUGUUUUUUACGCGUGAUUGUAUGUAUGGUACACUCUUGUCGUAUUUGCGCUGUUUAUGUUAGAAGGGAGAGAGGGAUUUGGUGGAAUAGUUGUUGUAUUGCUUGAGCCUCGUGGGCAUAUAUAUAGAAGUACAAUGAUCUACUUAGAGCACAAGACAAGGCAGAACAAAUCCUAGUCUAUCUCGUCUUUCCUAAUACAAUCACGUUACUCAACAUCCCCCGCAGUCACAACGGUAGCNNNNNNNNNNNNNNNNNNNNNNNNNNNNNNNNNNNNNNNNNNNNNNNNNNNNNNNNNNNNNNNNNNNNNNNNNNNNNNNNNNNNNNNNNNNNNNNNNNNNNNNNNNNNNNNNNNNNNNNNNNNNNNNNNNNNNNNNNNNNNNNNNNNNNNNNNNNNNNNNNNNNNNNNNNNNNNNNNNNNNNNNNNNNNNNNNNNNNNNNNNNNNNNNNNNNNNNNNNNNNNNNNNNNNNNNNNNNNNNNNNNNNNNNNNNNNNNNNNNNNNNNNNNNNNNNNNNNNNNNNNNNNNNNNNNNNNNNNNNNNNNNNNNNNNNNNNNNNNNNNNNNNNNNNNNNNNNNNNNNNNNNNNNNNNNNNNNNNNNNNNNNNNNNNNNNNNAGAGUCGUGGCUGGAGUGGAAACCGACGAGGUUGCUCAAGCAAGGCGGUAGCCCUUUGUGCCGUUUGUCGAGGUAGCCGAGAGCGUAUGGUGGUGGAGCCGUGGUCGAGGUAGCCGUGCGAAGAAUGCCGUGGUCGAUGUCGAGUCGGGGAAGCCGGUGUCGAGGAAGUCGCCGUGGAGCCACGGGCGCAAGGGGCGCCGAGUUAGUCAUAGGCACAGUAGUGUCGAAGUAGUGGUGCGCCGGGGAGAAGACGUUGUUGACGACACGUCGUGCCGGAGUUGCCAAGCCCGAGGACAUAUCGUAGACGAAGGCACGCACCGGUGUUGCCAGCACCGGGCAUGCGUAGACGGACGAAGACGAAGUUGACGAAGCGCCGCACCAGGCUUGCCAGGCCGGGGACACGUCGUGGACGAAGGCACGCUUCGGUGUUGCCAGCACCGGGCAUGCGUAGACUGGGACCUGCACGAGCUGUACGCCAUGUCGAAGAAGUCGGAGAAGCCAGCAGAGAAGAACUCGACGACGGUUGCGGCGCCAAUCGGCGUGGGGCCGAUGUUGCACCCGCGGUUGUCGGAGUAGACGAAGUGGUCGAGGUAGAUGACGGCGACGCUGGCGACAGGCUGGUGCUGGAUGAAGACGAAGGAGGUGGACGGGCGUCGGCGGCGACUACAGGGGUAGCAGCGGCGGCAGGCAAAGAAGAGCGGCGGCGGCGGCUAGGUUAGGAGUGCGGCGGCGGUGCUCGAAGUAGGCGAAGAACCCUGACAGCGUGACGAAGACCGGCGCGGACGGUGGCGUUCCCGCGCCAAGGGAGACGGCGCCGCGCAUACCACAGGAGGUCGACGCGCGGUGACGGCGGAGUGGACCGCAUGCCGCGAUGCUACGGUCCGAAGACGACGUAGUGGUGGCGGGCAGGUCGGGGCGAAGGCGGGAAGACCUGGGGCGACGGCGGGGACCGAGGGUCGUGACGCUGCGGCCCGAAGGGGCGACGCAAUGGCGGCGGGCGAGUCGGUGCAGCCGUGGGGACGGCCUCGGGCGGCGGCGGAGACCGCGUGCCACGCUCGCUACGGCCCGAUGGGGACGCAGUGGGAGCGCGAGGGUCGGUGCAGCCAGCGAGACGGCCUGGAACGGACGUACUCGGGGCGGCGGUAGACCGUGGGUCGCGGCACUACGACCCAAAGUGGCGACGCAGCGGUAGCACGCGGGGCAAUGCAGCCGUGGGAAGAACCACGGGGCGGCGGCGCUGCGGCCCGACGGGGCGACGCAGCGGCAGCCCGAUGCUCGAUCGGUGGAGAGGCGCGCUGAACUCGGGGACGAUCUUCACGGGCCCUGCGAAGGCGCGCGCAACCGACGGGCCAGGUCGGUCAUACGGCAUAAAUGAGGCGGAUCGCGGCGGCGGGCGGGUGAUUAAUCCGAUCGCGCGCGAGGUCGGGGACGACGCUCGGUGGAGGCGCGGUGGCGGCAGAGUCCGAGAUGAAGCCGGCGACAGCGUGCGGCAGGGCGGCUAUGAUUGGCCGCCGCAUGGCGCGAAGCUGCCGGGUCGGGGUGAUGCAUGAGUCCCGGUCGGAGCAGGGCGGUGACUGCCGUCGUAGAUCGACGGGCGGGCCGGCGCGCGAACGACGGAGGUGAAGGGCCGCCGCAUGACGCGAAGCCGCCGGGUCGGGGCGACCGGCGGGCAGACGCGCGGACAACGUGCGAGGCCGCCGGGUCGGUGAAGAAGCCGGCCGAUCGUGCCGGUGUUGGAGUAGAGGCGCACGGGGUCGAUGACGGCGUUGGGCGACACAAACCAAUCAAGAUUAGAUCGAAAAACCAAAAAGAAACCGCCGAUCAAGAUGACCGAUGGGAGAGAGAAAACCCCGGAGCAAGGGCUCGGGAAAAAGACUCUCUAGGGCAGACGGUCUACACGGCCGGCGGGCGAACCCUAGGUACGGGCGGCGCGGCCCCCGACGACGGUCAUGGAGGCCGAACGCCCCAGGGGCGGCGCGCGGGUGCGGAAGCGGCAGCGGCUAGGGUUUAGGAUCGAUUAGGCUGAUACCAUGUUAAAAGGGAGAGAAAAAUUUGAUGAAAUAAUUGUUGUAUUGCUUGAGUUUCGUAGGCAUAUAUAUAAAAGUACAAUGAUCUACUUAGAGUACAAGACAAGCCAGAACAAAUCCUAAUCUAUCUCAUCUUUCCUAAUACAAUCCGUUACUCAACAGUUUAUUAGGUUUGUAUUUGUCCUAUCUAUAUGUCGGUUGGUUUCCUCUUUAAUAUUGUUAUAUGAGAAGAUUCUUUCAUGUGUUUACGUAUUUUUAUCUCCUAAUAAGAUGUGCUUCCAACGAUUUUGCCAAUCUCUGUUUACUAGUAGGCUUGCAACGACGCACGUCUCAAUUAAUGCAAAUAUAUACACUAAAUAAGUCUUUCUUUCUAUAUUCUGAAGUUAUAUGUACAAUAAUAUUGUCUCCGGAAUUUUUUAAAUAUCUUCUUUAUUUGUGUAAAACAAAUAGCAGUAAAAACAUUCUAAUCCAUUGCAAGGAUAUAUCUCACAUAAUUUUUUUUGAAACGGAGGCAAAAGUUUUACCUCAUCGAUUAAUUAAGAAGAAGAGAAUUGCCCAGUUAAUUAAAGGAAAACCGAGCAAAAACCAAUACAAACGGAGCACAGACUAACUAUUCACAUGGCAAGAAAACCUCACAACUGCACAGGCGGCCCCGCUAGACUCUCCGAUUACACAACAUCCACAAACCUCGACAUUGCUACUACGCAGUGUGACCCCAAACAAGAACACCUCCACAUAAGACAUCAAACACCUUCCAACCCAUAACGACAACCCAAUCCAAGAGGAUGGGCCGAGAGAAUGAAGAUCAUCCAUCAAAUAGCCAGAGACACCUUGCCUAUGGCGCCACUCUUGCCUUUUCCCACCUUCUUUUGUUUGCCUCUUAUUGGUGUCUCCGUCAGAAGGCAAGCAAUCGACCUGCCCAAACCAAAUCUAGCAACCUUCACACUGGCGAGCAAAUCACAAAGUUCUUUCGCGAACGGAGCAUCUGGAUUUGGAGUAAGUGCAACCACACUUGGCUCAUUGGUCAUGUCACUCACAGGCAUCACAUGCUCGAUGGUCGCAGACGAGGGAAUGAUAGAGACUGCAACGUCCAAAUCACCACACACCUUGGCAUCAGGUAUUUGGCUAGACUCCNNNNNNNNNNNNNNNNNNNNNNNNNNNNNNNNNNNNNNNNNNNNNNNNNNNNNNNNNNNNNNNNNNNNNNNNNNNNNNNNNNNNNNNNNNNNNNNNNNNNNNNNNNNNNNNNNNNNNNNNNNNNNNNNNNNNNNNNNNNNNNNNNNNNNNNNNNNNNNNNNNNNNNNNNNNNNNNNNNNNNNNNNNNNNNNNNNNNNNNNNNNNNNNNNNNNNNNNNNNNNNNNNNNNNNNNNNNNNNNNNNNNNNNNNNNNNNNNNNNNNNNNNNNNNNNNNNNNNNNNNNNNNNNNNNNNNNNNNNUUGUUUGACGGACAGAGGCAGAACCGGGCCCGCACACAACUCCUACAACUCAGGCAUGAUCUGCAGCACCGGAGUCACGACCACAUCAUUGUCCAGUCCCUCAGAGGCUGACGACGGCGAACAUGCUCUAACACGAGGGGAGAAACGACCAUGAAGCUCGGCACCCAUCCCGACCUCGAACAUAUCUCACAUAAUGAAAUGGGUUUACAUGGCGUAUAAGAAGAAUUUUGAAUUGAACCAGAAGCACGAUCCUGAGAAUAAAUACUCUCCACCUCUUAUGAGGUUACAUUACAAAGUGGCAGCGGCAUACUGAAUGACAAUAUAUCAUGCCUCGUAAGAAAGAAUUUUACAAACUUACUCAUGACUCAUGACAUGGGUUGAAACUUCUAAUAAUCCAAAACAAAAACAAGACAAUCGUUUAUUUGUCUGCAGAUAACAAGGCUGGUGACAUUUCCAUUAUGCCCGGCAACCAACAUGUAUCUCUCUGCAUCUGCUGUAUCCAUCCUUCUUCAGGACUUACGAUCAACAAAUAAUGUAUUCUCUGCAUCAAGGAUGGUUGUUGCCUAAUUAGGAAUCUGUUCCUUGUGCUCUCCAAUUGUUCUUAGCCUUCUUGGCAUAUUGCCGUUGUUGCAGUAGCCCACCUAUAACCAUCUUCUACUAGGAGGGGACAAUGCCAUUAAAUUAGAAAAAAUCAGAUUUUUUUUAUAAUGCAUCAACUUCAUUAUGAUAUAAACGCCAAUUUUUAGGCACAUUCGUAAACAAACACACACCCGAUGUUGAAGAAACAUACCAUGCCUAACUUGAGAAAUCACAAUAACUGAACCAUUAAAAAAAGGACAACGCUAACGCCCACACGUGUGGUGGGAGCCAAACCCGCCCACACGCCCUAUAGCACACAGACUGCGCCAUGUCACCGUAUGCAUGCAUGUGGAAAUCUUUUUGGAUUUUCUGUUUUUAAAAUAUUUUAUCUCUUAAAUGAAAAAUCCGAUUGAAGAUCCGUUUUCGCCAUUAAAUCCCUCGUGACGAGAUCUUCGAAACUAGAUCUCAUAUCAAUAUAUUUCGACGAAAUUUUUUUGGGUUAAAAGUUGCCGUGUCUAUUGCACAUGAAUUGCCAUGAUGUUUACACUGAAGUUGGCAUGAUAUGUUUCAGCUAUUUUCUUCUACAUUUAAAAGUAAAUUUUGACAUAUUAUAAAACGGGGAAUUAAGAAACUAAACUUGCCAUGCACAAUAAAUUAAAAUUGCCAUGAUACAUGCACUUAAAAUUGCCAUGGUUCAUACAAAAAAUAUUUUCAUGGUCAAAGUACUGGAAUUGCCAUUAUCGAAAAACUAAAAUUGUCAUGAUCUACAAACUAAAAUUGCCACAUGGCAACUUUAGUUUAAGCACUAUGGCAACUACAGUGUAAACAUCAUGGCAACUUUUGGAGAAAUUUUUUUUCGUCGAAACAUAUCUACGUGAGGUCUAGUUUUGAAGAUCUCGUCGAGACGGAUUUAAUGGUGAAAAUGGAUUUUUAACUCGCUUUUUAAUUAGGAGAUAAAACAUUUUUAAGCCGAAAACCAAAAAGAUUUCUGCUGAUGUCAUCUGUUUAUACGUGGCAAAAUGAGUGGUGAUGGAGGUGUAUGGGCGAUGUGCAAACGCCCACACGUGUGGGCGUUAAUUUUUCCGUAAAAAAAUCAUUUAAGAUAGGAUUGCAUGAGCAGUGCCACCGUAACCGCUAUUAUCUUUCUCUAAUGAAUUAAGGAAAGCUAACAAGUUCAUAUACUAAGGGACAUUAUCCUGCAAAAUAGUACUCCCUCCGUCCCAUAAUAUAAGAACGUUUUUGACACUACAUUAGUGUCAAAAACGUUCUUAUAUUUUGGGACAGAGGGAUUAAGAUUUAGCAUGGUAUUUUGUGGUACAGAAGUAACAGUACAGAGCAGAUUUGUUGAUAGGUAUCUUCAUGGGGGAACUCAUAAGCAACACUAAAUAGUGCUUGAGCUGUUGCAGAUGUUUUAAAGCUGACUAUUGAUGAUAAUCAACUAUAACUGCUACCGAAACAAUGUGUGAUAUACGCUCAAUGUCCCGUGUAAUGGCAGAGAGAUCGGCCUUAAAUAGAAAGCAUAUAUUAAGAGCUGAGCUAAGGCCUAUAGCAUCAAGGGAAUAAUUGAAAAGGAAUGAGAACGUACUUAAAAAAGAAAUCACCAGUUGACGGUAGCUGACAGACCCGAAAUUGCAAUUUGAUCAAAAUCUCAGGAAACAUGAGGCUUAAUAUUGCACAGUGUCUAGUAGGCUUAAUAUUAUAAAUGACACAAAAUUUGUUCGACAUAACUCUUAGCAUGAGCUCAUUGGCAACUCCCCUUAAGCUAGGACAAAAUAAUGGGUGAAAUUAAAAUUAAAGAUUGGAAGCAGUCUUCAACGCCUUCAACAUGUUGAGGCCCUACACAUCCUACAAAAAUGGGAGAUGCAAAACCAAAAAAAUAUUGCUAUUUUUCAGAAAAUAUUUAGUUAGGAUAUGAAACACCCAUGAAAUUUAAACCAAUAAACCAAACAUGGAAGUUGAAAGAGAAACUUAAAUGAGAAGUGACUGUAGUGCUUCUACAAACCCAUUCAUACGAUGCCUAUUCAGGAGUCAGGACAGAAGUGGAUUGGGUAUAUGCAUCAUCCUGAUGUCUGAGUGUGAAAUGUUGUGUAUCUAAGAGAUAAUAAAAUCGUUACUUCCUUAGCCAUAAACCGAAUAAAUCACAGAACAUAUCGGAAUCACCAUGAACUAGCACAGGAUUGAUAAGUGGCCAUAUCAAGAUCACACCUUUAACCCCAGAAUCAAUCAUGACAAGUAGCGACUUAGUGCAGCAGCCCAGUGGAAGAUUAUAUCAAACAAUUUGAUCCAAAUAAAUUAAGAAUCUUCUGCUUGUCAAUGUUCAGCCUCGUCGGAGUGGGGCGAGUGAUGGCGGCGGCGGUCGCGCCGAGUAUCACUUAUCAAUCCUGUGCCGGCUGGGCGUCUCCGGCCGGUGGUUCUCCUACAUCCGGCACGCCUGCUGGCUCGCAUUCGCCCUCGCCCGCGCUGGCGACACCGAUGGGGGAGGCUAGAGCGCCGGGUACGACGCUCGUGCUCUUGCCCUCCAGCCCGAUGGCCUCCCAUCCUGACCCUUCGCAUCUGGAGCCGCCCUCCGCUGCUGUCACCGCGCUGGAAGGAGUGGACGCACCGACGACCGCCGACCAGCCUGCGAUGGAUGCGCCAAGUACUGAAGACCCGCUGCCCCUGCCGACUGUGACGGCCCCUGAUGUGCCCAGGACGGCGCCUCCGCUCAUGCCGCCACGCCGUCCGGCCGGCGGCAAGCGCGCUAGGUCGACCUCCACGCCGGUGACUGCUACGCGCCGGAGUGCGCGACUCGACGCGGCGAUGCCACCUGGGACACCGACUCCGUCCAUUCCAGAGAGGGCGGAGCGUAGGGCUGCAGCUCGUUUCCUGAGCUAGGUACCUCAUCCAUCUCGCCCCAGAUUUCCCAGUAUGAUUUUUCUGCAUUGGAAUCGGCCCCGCUGGGCAAUCUGGCCGUGGUGGCCAACGACUCAGGGAUCGUUUUCAGGGGGGAGAGGGGUUCCCCUUCAGAUUGCCGCAAUUCAGGCAAAGGAGAUUCUUUUUUUUUUUGAGGGGUUCAGGCAAAGGAGAUUCUGGACGGGAAGUUGGCUGCAGCUGCGGCGCAGCUCUCUCAGGCCUCGGCGACUACAACACCAUCCAUGGGUCCUGGGCCCACCAACACCGCACCCCGCGGUCGGACUCGCUCCCGCACCUUUGCGAUACGCCGGGCCCAUUGUUCCAGGGUUAGGAACCCCAGACCCGGUUUCUUAAUGCGGAUGCUUUUUUGGAAUAUCCACGGCUUGGGCGAAACCGGCCGCCGCCGACAACUCAUCGAAUAAACGUGAGAUGAUAGGAUUGAUAUUGUCGCCAUCCAAGAAACGAUGUGAACCGGGUUCUCCCUCUCCGGGCUAGAUCCCCUUAGUCCUCACCUCUUCGCGUGGCACUGGCUCCCUUCUAGUGGGAUCACAGGGCACUCCGGAGGCAUCCUUCAUGGAGUGAAGGACGCGACCUUUGAGGUUGGGAGUAUGGACCGAUGCGAGUUCUAUGUGAGCAUGGAAGUAUUCAAACUGCUGAUCAACUUCAAGUGGGAGAUCAUCACCGUGUAUGGCCCAGCGGACCAUAGCCGCUCUAGCUCCUUUCUCGAGGAAUUACACAUGAGAUAGCUAAUGCCCAGCUCCCGGUGGUGGUGGGAGGGGACAUCAACCUCAUCUGCCACCCAGACGACAAAAAUAACAAUCGUGUCAAUUUUCCUCGGAUGCAACUCUUCAAUGAUUUCAUUGCAGAGCUUGGCCUCCGCGAGAUUGACCGCAUUCGCGCUCGGUUCACCUGGACGAACAAACAGGCUGACUCAACCCAAUCUGUGUUAGAUCAAGUAUUCAUGUCCACAGAAUGGGAACUUCGAUCCCCUCUGGCCUCCCUCCGAGCUAUUACGUGGAUUGGUUCUGACCAUGUACCACUCCUUCUCUCCUCCAUCAAACGGCCUCGCCCCCCGCCUAGGUUUCGCUUCGAAAACUUCUGGCUGGCUCGGCGGGGCUUUAUCGCCACGGUACAUGAGCGUUGGUCUGUCGCUAGGACGGAACCACACGAGCAACGAGCAGGUGGCGGAGGCGGAGGUGGUGCUUCGGGAGGACCAGGUGGCCGGCGCGUCGUGGCGGAUGCACCAGGUGUACAACUACGGCACCAGCAACGGCGGCUGCUACUUGAGGAACGUGACCAGCGUUGGCUACGACAUGCUUUUCGACCAUAAUGUGGCGUCGUGCGCCAGGACGCGCCGACGUUGACGCCUGUUGGCCGGCGCCCGCCUACGUGGCGCGCGCGAGUAGAUGGCCGUGAUAACGGUCAGGAAGGGACCUGGUGUAAACUGUAAUGGGAACAUAAGUGGGCCCUAAUAGUUUCGUACUACUAUAGUCUUUGCGUUGUCAUGGGUCGUCUCGUGUCCUUAGCUCUGAAUAAGAAAUGAGUGAUGUGAUGUAUGUAAUCCCUAACUGCAAUUAGAGUUCAUUAUGUGUUUAAUCCCUUUCUUUUCGAACUUAUGUCUUCUGAAUUUGCUAAUCAGAAUUAGUUAUUUCUCAAUUGAUAUCAGUUAGUAUGUCUUCAAUAGAUGACGUAAAAUCACUACUGCAGGAUGCUGCUAACGCGACACUAUGAUCAAAGACCCUUCGACGAAACUGUGUGCGAUGCCAUAAUCGUAAAUGGUGGUGUAAAAACCCAUCAAAAAUUGUGCAAAACGUUUGCGAUGGAGGAUGCAUCAAACACGGUUCAGAUUUUAGUUGCGUGUGCGAUGCGGCGCAUACGGUUCAGCUCAAUUAACUAUUUGCGAUGAGGAGGAACAAAAGAAACGGGAAGCCAGAUGAAGGUGUGCGAUACACAGCAUACGGUUCACUCGGAUGAACUGUUUGUGAUUAGGCAACACAAAAGAAAUGGUCAGCCAGAUCAAGGUGUCUGCGAUAUACGGCAUACGGUUCACUCAGAUGAACUGUUUGCGUUGAGACAAAAGAACAAAAACGGUUCAAUAUAACAAGAUGUGUGUGAUACACGGAAAACAGGUCUGUAAUCAGAAAUGUGUGCGAAGACCGAUAAUAACACAGACGAUUGCUUCUAAUAAGACGUAUGUGAUAUGCUCUGUCUACACAACAUCUAUUGGCCAUUGGGGGACGGGCGGUCAUCCGGAUACGCCAUAAGGAUGCGAAGAGGCAUCCUAUAUCAGCAAGGACUAGCUAUUUGUUUUUUUAUUUUUUUUAUUUUUUAACACAUGUUAAAGAAGGACUACCGCAUUACUUUUUGACAAUGUGCGAUACGUGGCAUAUGCUACCUCUUGAGCACUGCGUUGGUUUUCCCUUGAAGAGCAAAGGGUGAUGCAGUAAAGUAGCGUAAGUAUUUCCCUCAGUUUUUGAGAACAAGGUAUCAAUCCAGUAGGAGGCCACACUCAAGUCCCUUGCACCUACACAAACAAAUAAAAACCUCGCAACCAAUGCAAUAAAGGGGUUGUCAAUCCCUUCACGGCCACUUACGAAAGUGAGAUCUGAUAGAUAUGAUAAGAUAAUAUUUUUGGUAUUUUUAUAAUAAAGAUGCAAAGUAAAAUAAAGCAAAAUAAACGGCGCCAGAAAUAGCUAAGUGUUGGAAGAUUAAUAUGAUGGAAAAUAGACCCCGGGGCCAUAGGUUUCACUAGUGGCUUUUCUCAAUAGCAUAAGUAUUACGGUGGGUGAACAAAUUACUGUUGAGCAAUUGAUAGAAUUGAGCAUAGUUAUGAGAAUAUCUAGUUAUGAUCAUGUAUACAGGCAUCACGUCUGUGACAAAUAGACCGACUCCUGCCUGCAUCUACUACUAUUACUCCACACAUCGACCGCUAUCCAGCAUGCAUAUAGAGUAUUAAGUGUUGGGGAUCGUAGCAGAAUUUUAAAAUUUUCUACGCAUCACCAAGAUCCAUCUAUGGAGUUUACUAGCAACGAGAAGGAAGGAGUGCAUCUACAUACCCUUGUAGAUCGCGAGCGGAAGCGUUCAAGUGAACGGGGUUGAUGGAGUCGUACUCGUCGUGAUCCAAAUCACCGAUGACUGAGCGCCGAACGGACGGCACUUCCGCGUUCAACACACGUAUGGAGCAGCGACGUCUCCUCCUUCUUGAUCCAGCAAGGGGGAAGGAGAGGUUGAUGGAGAUCCAGCAGCACGACGGCGUGGUGGUGGAAGUAGCGGGGAUCCCGGCAGGGCUUCGCCAAGCGCAAGCGGGAGGGAGAGGUGUCACGGGAGGGAGAGGGAGGCGCCAGGGGCUAGGGUACUGCUGCCCUCCCUCCACCCCACUAUAUAUAGGGGUCCUGGGGGGGCGGCGGCCCCCUGGAGAUCCCAUCUGAGGGGGGCGGCGGCCAAGGGGGUGGCUUGCCCCCCAAGCCAAGUGGGGCGCCCCCCCACCCCCAGGGUUUCCAACCCUAGGCGCAGGGGAGGCCCAAGGGGGGCGCACCAGCCCACCAGUGGCUGGUUCCCCUCCCCACUUCAGCCCAUGGGGCCCUCCGGGACAGGUGGCCCCACCCGGUGGACCCCCGGGACCCUUCCGGUGGUCCCGGUACAAUACCGAUAACCCCCGAAACUUUCCCGGUGGCCGAAACUGGACUUCCUAUAUAUAAUUCUUCACCUCCGGACCAUUCCGGAACUCCUUGUGACGUCUGGGUCUCAUCCUAGACUCCGAACAACUUUCGGGUUUCCGCAUACUAAUAUCUCUACAACCCUAGCGUCACCGAACCUUAAGUGUGUAGACCCUACGGGUUCGGGAGACAUGCAGACAUGACCGAGACGACUCUCCGGUCAAUAACCAACAGCGGGAUCUGGAUACCCAUGUUGGCUCCCACAUGUUCCACGAUGAUCUCAUCGGAUGAACCACGAUGUCGAGGAUUCAAUCAAUCCCGUAUACAAUUCCCUUUGUCAAUCGGUACGUUACUUGCCCGAGAUUCGAUCGUCGGUAUCCCAAUACCUUGUUCAAUCUCGUUACCGGCAAGUCACUUUACUCGUACCGUAAUGCAUUAUCCCGUGACCAGACACUUGGUCACAUUGAGCUCAUUAUGAUGAUGCAUUACCGAGUGGGCCCAGAGAUACCUCUCCGUCACACGGAGUGACAAAUCCCAGUCUUGAUCCGUGCCGACCCAACAGACACUUUCGGAGAUACCCGUAGUGCACCUUUAUAGUCACCUAGUUACGUUGUGACGUUUGGCACACCCAAAGCACUCCUACGGCAUCCGGGAGUUGCACGAUCUCAUGGUCUAAGGAAAUGAUACUUGACAUUGGAAAAGCUCUAGCAAACGAACUACACGAUCUCUGUGCUAUGCUUAGGAUUGGGUCUUGUCCAUCACAUCAUUCUCCUAAUGAUGUGAUCCCGUUAUCAAUGACAUCCAAUGUCCAUAGUCAGGAAACCAUGAUUAUCUGUUGAUCAACGAGCUAGUCAACUAGAGGCUCACUAGGGACAUGUUGUGGUCUAUGUAUUCACACAUGUAUUACAAUUUCCGGAUAACACAAUUAUAGCAUGAACAAUAGACAAUUAUCAUGAACAAGGAAAUAUAAUAAUAACCAUUGUAUUAUUGCCUCUAGGGCAUAUUCCAACAGUCUCCCACUUGCACUAGAGUCAAUAAUCUAGUUACAUUGUGAUGAAUCGAACACCCAUAGAGUUCUGGUGUUGAUCAUGUUUUGCUCUAGGGAGAGGUUUAGUCAACGGAUCUGCUACAUUCAGGUCCGUAUGUACUUUACAAAUAUCUAUGUCUCCAUUUUGAACACUUUCACGAAUGGAGUUGAAGCGACGCUUGAUAUGCCUGGUCUUCUUGUGAAACCUGGGCUCCUUGGCAAGGGCAAUAGCUCCAGUGUUGUCACAGAAGAGAGUCAUCGGGCCCGACGCAUUGGGAAUCACCCCUAGUUCGGUAAUGAACUCCUUCAUCCAGAUUGCUUCUUGCGCUGCCUCUGAGGCCGCCAUGUACUCUGCUUCACAUGUAGAUCCCGCCACGACGCUUUGCUUGCAACUGCACCAGCUUACUGCCCCUCCAUUCAAAAUAUACACGUAUCCGGUUUGUGACUUAGAGUCAUCCAGAUCUGUGUCAAAGCUAGCGUCGACGUAACCCUUUACGACGAGCUCUUCGUCACCUCCAUAAAUGAGAAACAUAUCCUUAGUCCUCUUCAGGUACUUCAGGAUAUUCUUGACCGCUGUCCAGUGUUCCAUGCCGGGAUUACUUUGGUACCUUCCUACCAAACUUACGGCAAGGUUUACAUCAGGUCUGGUACACAGCAUGGCAUACAUAAUAGACCCUAUGGCCGAGGCAUAGGGGAUGACACUCAUCUUUUCUCUAUCUUCUGCCGUGGUCGGGCAUUGAGCCGUGCUCAAUUGCACACCUUGCAAUACAGGCAAGAACCCCUUCUUGGACUGAUCCAUAUUGAACUUCUUCAAUAUCUUGUCAAGGUACGUACUCUGUGAAAGACCAAUGAGGCGUCUUGAUCUAUCUCUAUAGAUCUUGAUGCCUAAUAUAUAAGCAGCUUCUCCAAGGUCCUUCAUUCAAAAACACUUAUUCAAGUAGGCCUUUAUACUUUCCAAGAAUUCUAUAUCAUUUCCCAUCAAUAGUAUGUCAUCCACAUAUAAUAAGAGAAAUGCUACAGAGCUCCCACUCACUUUCUUGUAAACACAGGCUUCUCCAUAAGUCUGUGUAAACCCAAACGCUUUGAUCAUCUCAUCAAAUCGAAUGUUCCAACUCCGAGAUGCUUGCACCAGCCCAUAGAUGGAGCGCUGGAGCUUGCAUACCUUGUUAGCAUUCUUAGGAUCGACAAAACCUUCCGGCUGCAUCAUAUACAAUUCUUCCUUAAGAAAGCCGUUAAGGAAUGCCGUUUUGACGUCCAUUUGCCAUAUCUCAUAAUCAUAGAAUGCGGCAAUUGCUAACAUGAUUCGGACGGACUUCAGCUUCGCUACGGGUGAGAAAGUCUCAUCGUAGUCAACCCCUUGAACUUGUCGAUAACCCUUAGCGACAAGUCGAGCCUUAUAGAUGGUCACGUUACCAUCCGCGUCUGUCUUCUUCUUAAAGAUCCAUUUAUUUUCUAUGGCUCGCCGAUCAUCGGGCAAGUCAGUCAAAGUCCAUACUUCGUUUUCAUACAUGGAUCCUAUCUCGGAUUGCAUGGCUUCAAGCCAUUUGUUGGAAUCCGGGCCUGCCAUCACUUCUUCAUAGUUCGAAGGUUCACCGUUGUCUAACAACAUGAUUUCCAGGACAGGGUUGCCGUACCACUCUGGUGCGGAACGUGUCCUUGUGGACCUACGAAGUUCAGCGGUAACUUGAUCCGAAGCUUCAUGAUCAUCAUCAUUAACUUCCUCCCCAGUCAGUGUAGGCACCACAGGAACAUCUUCCCGCGCUGCGCUACUUUCCGGUUCGGAAGGGGUGACUAUCACCUCAUCAAGUUCCACUUUCCUCCCACUCACUUCUUUCGAGAGAAACUCUUUCUCCAGAAAGGACCCGUUCUUGGCAACAAAGAUCUUGCCUUCGGAUCUGAGGUAGAAGGUAUACCCAAUGGUUUCCUUAGGGUAUCCUAUGAAGACGCAUUUUUCCGAUUUGGGUUCGAGCUUUUCAGGUUGAAGUUUCUUGACAUAAGCAUCGCAUCCCCAAACUUUUAGAAACGACAGCUUAGGUUUCUUCCCAAACCAUAAUUCAUACGGUGUCGUCUCAACGGAUUUCGACGGAGCCCUAUUUAAAGUGAAUGCGGCAGUCUCUAAAGCAUAGCCCCAAAAUGAGAGCGGUAGAUCGGUAAGAGACAUCAUAGAUCGCACCAUAUCCAAUAGAGUGCGAUUACGACGUUCGGACACACCAUUUCGCUGAGGUGUUCCAGGCGGCGUGAGUUGUGAAACUAUUCCACAUUUCCUUAAGUGUGUGCCAAAUUCAUGACUUAAAUAUUCCCCUCCACGAUCUGAUCGUAGGGACUUUAUUUUCCUGUCACGUUGAUUCUCAACCUCACUCUGAAAUUCCUUGAACUUUUCAAAGGUCUCAGACUUGUGUUUCAUUAGGUAGACAUACCCAUAUCUACUUAAGUCAUCAGUGAGAGUGAGAACAUAACGAUAGCCACCGCGAGCCUCAACACUCAUUGGACCGCACACAUCAGUAUGUAUGAUUUCCAAUAAGUUGGUUGCUCGCUCCAUUGUUCCGGAGAACGGAGUCUUGGUCAUCUUACCCAUGAGGCAUGGUUCGCACGUGUCAAAUGAUUCGUAAUCAAGAGACUCCAAAAGUCCAUCUGCAUGGAGCUUCUUCAUGCGUUUGACACCAAUGUGACCAAGGCGGCAGUGCCACAAGUAUGUGGGACUAUCGUUAUCAACUUUACUUCUUUUGGUAUUCACACUAUGAAUAUGUGUAACAUCACGUUCGAGAUUCAUUAAAAAUAAACCAUUGACCAGCAGGGCAUGACCAUAAAACAUAUCUCUCAUAUAAAUAGAACAACCAUUAUUCUCGGAUUUAAAUGAGUAGCCAUCUCGAAUUAAACGAGAUCCUGAUACAAUGUUCAUGCUCAAAGCUGGCACUAAAUAACAAUUAUUGAGGUUUAAAACUAAUCCCGUAGGUAAAUGUAGAGGCAGCGUGCCGACGGCGAUCACAUCGACCUUGGAACCAUUCCCGACGCGCAUCGUCACCUCGUCCUUCGCCAGUCUCCGCUUAUUCCGCAGCUCCUGUUUUGAGUUACAAAUAUGAGCAACCGCACCGGUAUCAAAUACCCAGGAGCUACUACGAGUACUGGUAAGGUACACAUCAAUUACAUGUAUAUCACAUAUACCUUUGGUGUUGCCGGCCUUCUUGUCCGCUAAGUAUUUGGGGCAGUUCCGCUUCCAGUGACCACUUCCCUUGCAAUAAAAGCACUCAGUCUCAGGCUUGGGUCCAUUCUUUGACUUCUUCCCGGCAACUGGCUUACCGGGCGCGUCAACUCCCUUGCCGUCCUUCUUGAAGUUCUUCUUACCCUUGCCUUUCUUGAACUUAGUGGUUUUAUUCACCAUCAACACUUGAUGUUCCUUUUUGAUCUCCACCUCCGCUGAUUUCAGCAUUGAAUAUACCUCAGGAAUGGUCUUUUCCAUCCCCUGCAUAUUGAAGUUCAUCACAAAGCUCUUGUAGCUCGGUGGAAGCGACUGAAGGAUUCUGUCAAUGACCGCGUCAUCCGGGAGAUUAACUCCCAGCUGAGACAAGCGGUUGUGUAACCCAGACAUUUUGAGUAUGUGCUCACUGACAGAACUAUUUUCCUCCAUCUUACAACUGAAGAACUUGUCGGAGACUUCAUAUCUCUCGACUCGGGCAUGAGCUUGGAAAACCAUUGUCAGCUCUUCGAACAUCUCAUAUGCCCCGUGUUUCUCAAAACGCUUUUGGAGCCCCGGUUCUAAGCUGUAAAGCAUGCCGCACUGAACGAGGGAGUAAUCAUCAGCACGUGAUUGCCAAGCGUUCGUAACGUCUUGGUUCUCUGGGAUGGGUGCUUCACCUAGCGGUGCUUCUAGGACAUAAUCUUUCUUGGCAGCUAUGAGGAUGAUCCUCAGGUUCCGGACCCAGUCCGUAUAGUUGCUGCCAUCAUCUUUCAGCUUGGUUUUCUCUAGGAACGCGUUGAAGUUGAGGGCAACGUGGGACAUUUGAUCUACAAGACAUAUUGUAAAGAUUUUAGACUAAGUUCAUGAUAAUUAAGUUCAUCUAAUCAAAUUAUUCAAUGAACUCCCACUCAGAUAGACAUCCCUCUAGUGAUCUAAGUGAAACAUGAUCCGAGUCAACUAGGCCGUGUCCGAUCAUCACGUGAGACGGACUAGUCAAGAUCGGUGAACAUCUUCAUGUUGAUCGUAUCUUCUAUACGACUCAUGCUCGACCUUUCGGUCUUCCGUGUUCCGAGGCCAUGUCUGUACAUGCUAGGCUCGUCAAGUCAACCUAAGUGUAUUGCGUGUGUUCCGAGGCCAUGUCUGUACAUGCUAGGCUCGUCAACACCCGUUGUAUGCGAACGUUAGAAUCUAUCACACCCGAUCAUCACGUGGUGCUUCGAAAGAACGAACCUUCGCAACGGUGCACAGUUAGGGGGAACACUUUCUUGAAAUUAUUAUGAGGGAUCAUCUUACUUACUACCGUCGUACUAAGCAAAUAAGAUGUAAAACAUGAUAAACAUCACAUGCAAUCAAAUAGUGACAUGAUAUGGCCAAUACCAUUUUGCUCCUUUGAUCUCCAUCUUUGGGGCGCCAUGAUCAUCUUCGUCACCGGCAUGACACCAUGAUCUCCGUCAUCGUGUCUUCAUGAAGUUGUCACGCCAACGAUUACUUCUACUUCUAUGGCUAACGUGUUUAGCAAUAAAGUAAAGUAAUUUACAUGGCGUUAUUCAAUGACACGCAGGUCAUACAAAAAUAAAGACAACUCCUAUGGCUCCUGCCGGUUGUCAUACUCAUCGACAUGCAAGUCGUGAUUCCUAUUACAAGAACAUGAUCAUUCUCAUACAUCACAUAUAUCAUUCAUCACAUCUUCUGGCCAUAUCACAUCACAAGACACAUGCUGCAAAAACAAGUUAGACGUCCUCUAAUUGUUGUUGCAAGUUUUUACGCGGCUUCUAUAGGUUUCUAGCAAGAACGUUUCUUACCUACGUAAAACCACAACGUGAUAUGCCAAUUUCUAUUUACCCUUCAUAAGGACCCUUUUCAUCGAAUCCGUUCCGACUAAAGUGGGAGAGACAGACAGCCGCUAGCCACCUUAUGCAACUAGUGCAUGUCAGUCGGUGGAACCUGUCUCACGUAAGCGUACGUGUAAGGUCGGUCCGGGCCGCUUCAUCCCACAAUACCGCCGAAACAAGAUAAGACUAGUAGUGGCAAGAAAAAUAGACAACAUCUACGCCCACAACUGCUUUGUGUUCUACUCGUGCAUAGAAACUACGCAUAGGCCUGGCUCAUGAUGCCACUGUUGGGGAUCGUAGCAGAAUUUUAAAAUUUUCUACGCAUCACCAAGAUCCAUCUAUGGAGUUUACUAGCAACGAGAAGGAAGGAGUGCAUCUACAUACCCUUGUAGAUCGCGAGCGGAAGCGUUCAAGUGAACGGGGUUGAUGGAGUCGUACUCGUCGUGAUCCAAAUCACCGAUGACCGAGCGCCGAACGGACGGCACCUCCGCGUUCAACACACGUACGGAGCAGCGACGUCUCCUCCUUCUUGAUCCAGCAAGGGGGAAGGAGAGGUUGAUGGAGAUCCAGCAGCACGACGGCGUGGUGGUGGAAGUAGCGGGGAUCCCGGCAGGGCUUCGCCAAGCGCAAGCAGGAGGGAGAGGUGUCACGGGAGGGAGAGGGAGGCGCCAGGGGCUAGGGUACUGCUGCCCUCCCUCCCCCCACUAUAUAUAGGGGUCCUGGGGGGGGGGGCGCCGGCCCCCUGGAGAUCCCAUCUGAGGGGGGCGGCGGCCAAGGGGGUGGCUUGCCCCCCAAGCCAAGUGGGGCGCCCCCACCCCCAGGGUUUCCAACCCUAGGCGCAGGGGAGGCCCAAGGGGGGCGCACCAGCCCACCAGUGGCUGGUUCCCCUCCCCACUUCAGCCCAUGGGGCCCUCCGGGAUAGGUGGCCCCACCCGGUGGACCCCCGGGACCCUUCCGGUGGUCCCGGUACAAUACCGAUAACCCCCGAAACUUUCCCGGUGGCCGAAACUGGACUUCCUAUAUAUAAUUCUUCACCUCCGGACCAUUUCGGAACUCCUCGUGACGUCCGGGAUCUCAUCCGGGACUCCGAACAACUUUCGGGUUUCCGCAUACUAAUAUCUCUAUAACCCUAGCGUCACCGAACCUUAAGUGUGUAGACCCUACGGGUUCGGGAGACAUGCAGACAUGACCGAGACGACUCUCCGGUCAAUAACCAACAGCGGGAUCUGGAUACCCAUGUUGGCUCCCACAUGUUCCACGAUGAUCUCAUCGAAUGAACCACGAUGUCGAGGAUUCAAUCAAUCCCGUAUACAAUUCCCUUUGUCAAUCGGUACGUUACUUGCCCGAGAUUCGAUCGUCGGUAUCCGAAUACCUUGUUCAAUCUCGUUACUGGCAAGUCACUUUACUCGUACCGUAAUGCAUGAUCCCGUGACCAGACACUUGGUCACAUUGAGCUCAUUAUGAUGAUGCAUUACCGAGUGGGCCCAGAGAUACCUCUCCGUCACACGGAGUGACAAAUCCCAGUCUUGAUCCGUGCCAACCCAACAGACACUUUUGAAGAUACCCGUAGUGCACCUUUAUAGUCACCCAGUUACGUUGUAACGUUUGGCACACCCAAAGCACUCCUACGGCAUCCGGGAGUUGCACAAUCUCAUGGUCUAAGGAAAUGAUACCUGACAUUGGAAAAGCUCUAGCAAACGAACUACACGAUCUCUGUGCUAUGCUUAGGAUUGGGUCUUGUCCAUCACAUCAUUCUCCUAAUGAUGUGAUCCCGUUAUCAAUGACAUCCAAUGUCCAUAGUCAGGAAACCAUGACUAUAUGUUGAUCAACGAGCUAGUCAACUAGAGGCUCACUAGGGACAUGUUGUGGUCUAUGUAUUCACACAUGUAUUACGAUUUCCGGAUAACACAAUUAUAGCAUGAACAAUAGACAAUUAUCAUGAACAAGGAAAUAUAAUAACCAUUGUAUUAUUGCCUCUAGGGCAUAUUUCCAACAUUAAGUUCAAAAGAACAGAGUAACGCUUUAAGUAAGAUGACAUGAUGUAGAGGGAUAAACUCACGCAAUAUGAUAUAAACCCCAUCUUUUUAUCCUUGAUGGCAACAAUACAAUACGUGCCUUGCUGCCCCUGCUGUCACUGGGAAAGGACACCGGAAGAUUGAACCCAAAGCUAAGCACUUCUCCUAUUGCAAGAAAGAUCAAUCUAGUAGGCCAAACCAAACUAAUAAUUCGAAGAGACUUGCAAAGAUAACCAAUCAUACAUAAAAUAAUUCAGAGAAGAUUCAAAUAUUGUUCAUAGAUAAACUUGAUCAUAAACCCACAAUUCAUCGGUCUCAACAAACACACCGCAAAAGAAGAUUACAUCGAAUAGAUCUCCACGAGAAUUGUGGAGAACUUUCUAUUGAGAUCCAAAAAGAGAGAAGAAGCCAUCUAGCAAAUAACUAUGGACCAGAAGGUCUGAGGUAAACUACUCACACAUCAUCGGAGAGGCUAUGGUGUUGAUGUAGAAGCCCUCCGUGAUCAAUGCCCCCUCGGGCAGGACGCCGGAAAAGGCCCCAAGAUGGGAUCUCACGGGUACAGAAGGUUGCGGCGGUGUGAUAACCCACAAGUAUAGGGGAUCAAUUGUAGCCUUUUUCGAUAUGUAAGAGUCUCGAACCCAAUGAGGAGCUAAAGGUAGAACAAAUAUUCCCUCAAGUUCUAUCGAUCACCGAUACAACUCUACGCACACUUGACGUUCGCUUUACCGGAAACAAGUAUGAAACUAGAAGUACUUUAUAGGUGUUUUUGGAUAGGUUUGCAAGAAUAUAAAGAGAGCGUAAAUAAAAAGUAGGGGCUGUUUAGAUAAAGACACAACUAAAUUAGUUUUAGUAAAGAGCUUGUUGUCACGAGAAAGUUAUUUGUCCCUAGGCAAUCGAUAACUAGACCGGUAAUCAUUAUUGCAAUUUUAUUUGAGGGAAAGGCAUAAGCUAACAUACUUUCUCUACUUGGAUCAUAUGCACUUAUGAUUGGAACUCUAGCAAGCAUCCGCAACUACUAAAGAUCAUUAAGGUAAAACCCAACCAUAGCAUUAAAGCAUCAAGUCCCCUUUAUCCCAUACACAAACAACCUACUUACUCGGGUCCGUGCUUCUGUCACUCACGCCACCCACCAUAAGCAAAUCAUGAACAUAUUGCAAACCCUACACCGGUAAUCCCUCACGCUUGCGCGACAUGGAGAGCACCAUAGGACAGCACCAAUAAUAAAACAUGCAACUCAAACCAAUCUUGAUCAUUAAAUAGCCCAUAGGACAAAACGAAUCUACUCAAACAUCAUAGGAUAGCCAUACAUCAUUGGGAAAUAAUAUAUAGCGUUGAGCACCAUGUUUAAGUAGAGAUUACAACGGGUAAGAGAGAGGUUACACCGCUGCAUAGAGGGGGGAAGAGUUGGUGAUGAUGGCGGUGAAGUUGUUGGUGAAGAUUGCGGUGAUGAUGAUGGCCACGGCGGCGUUCCGGCGCCACCAGAAGAGAAGGGGAGAGGGGGCCCCUUCGUCUUCUUCUUCCUGGAACUCCUCCCUAGAUGGGAGAAGGGUUUACCCUCUGGUCCUUGGCCUCCAUGGCGUGGGAGGGGCGAGAGCCCCUCCGAGAUUGGAUCUGUCUCUCUGUCUCUCUCUAUUUUUGCAUUCUGUUCUGCUGCCCUUUCACCGUUUCGUAUAUAUAUGGAGAUCCGUAACUCCGAUUGGACUGAAACCUUCGCCGUUAUUUUUUUUACCAAAAAUUAGCUUUCUUGCGGCUGAAGAAGGGCAUCAACCGCCUUACGGGUGGCCCACGAGGGUCAGGGGCACGCCCAGGGGGCAGGGGCGCCCGCCUGCCUCGUGGCCACCUCGGGCACCGUCUCGCGUGGAUUUUUCUUCCGGAAUUUUCCAAAUAUUCCAAAAAUAAGCUCCGUCCAUUUUUAUCCCAUUUGGAUUCCAUUUGAUAUGGAUAUUCCGCGAAACAUAAAACAUGCAACAAACAGGAACUGGCACUGGGCACUGGAUCAAUAUGUUAGUCCCAAAAAUAGUAUAAAAAGUUGCCAAAAAGUACAUGAAAGUUGAAUAAUAUUGGCAUGGAACAAUCAAAAAUUAUAGAUACGACGGAGACGUAUCAGCAUCCCCAAGCUUAAUUCCUGCUCGUCCCCGAGUAGGUAAAUGAUAAAAAAGAUAAUUUUUGAUGUGGAAUGCUACCUAGCAUAAUCUUGAUCAUAUGUCUAAUCAUGGCAUGAAUAUUAAGACACGAGUGAUUCAAAGCAAUAGUCUAUCCUUUGACAUAAAAGCAAUAAUACUUCAAGCAUACCAACCAAGCAAUUAUGUCUUAUUGAAAUAACAUAGCCAAAGAAAGCUCAUCCCUACAAAAUCAUAUAGUCUGGCUAUGCUCCAUCUUCACCACACAAAAUAUUCACACCAUGCACAACCCCGAUGACAAGCCAAGCAAUUGUUUCAUACUUUUGACGUUUCUCAAACCUUUUCAACUUUCACGCAAUACAUGAGCGUGAGCCAUGGACAUAGCACUAUAGGUGGAAUAGAAUAUGAUGAUGGGGGUUAUGUGGAUAAGACAAAAAAGGAGAAAGUCUCACAUCGACGCGGCUAAUCAACGGGCUAUGGAGAUGCCCAUCAAUUGAUGUCAAUGUGAGGGGUAGGGAUUGCCAUGCAACGGAUGCACUAGAGCUAUAAGUGUAUGAAAGGUCAAACUGAAACUAAGUGGGCGUGCAUCCAACUUGCUUGCUCAUCAAGACCUAGGGCAUUUGAGGAAGCCCAUCGUUGGAAUAUACAAGCCAAGUUCUAUAAUGAAAAUUCCCACUAGUAUAUGAAAGUGAUAACUCAAGAGACUCUCUAUAUGAAGAACAUGGUGCUACUUUGAAGCACAAGUGUGGUAAAAGGAUAGUAACAUUGCCCCUUCUCUCUUUUUCUCUCAUUUUUUUGUUUUCUUUUUUUCCCUUUUUUUGGGCCUUCUCUUUUUUUUUGUCCGGAGUCUCAUCCCGACUUGUGGGGGAAUCAAAGUCUCCAUCAUCCUUUCCUCACUGGGGCAAUGCUCUAAUAAUGAUGAUCAUCACACUUUUAUUUACUUACAACUCAAUAUUACAACUCGAUAUCUAGAACAAAGAUAUGACUCUAUAUGAAUGCCUCCGGCGGUGUACCGGGAUGUGCAAUGAUCUAGCGUAGCAAUGACGUCAAAAAACGGACAAGCCAUGAAAACAUCAUGCUAGCUAUCUUGCGAUCAUGCAAAGCAAUAUGACAAUAAAUUCUCAAGUCAUGUAUAUGAUGAUGAUGGAAGUUGCAUGGCAAUAUAUCUCGGAAUGGCUAUGGAAAUGCCAUAAUAGGUAGGUAUGGUGGCUGUUUUGAGGAAGAUAUAAGGGGGUUUAUGUGUGAUAGAGCGUAUCGUAUCACGGGGUUUGGAUGCACCGGCGAAGUUUGCACCAACUCUCGAGGUGAGAAAGGGGAAUGCACGGUACCGAAGAGGCUAGCAAUGAUGGAAGGGUGAGAGUGCGUAUAAUCCAUGGACUCAACAUUAGUCAUAAAGAACUCACAUACUUAUUGCAAAAGUCUAUUAGCUAUCGAAACAAAGUACUACGCGCCUGCUCCUAGGCGGAUAGAUUGGUAGGAAAAGACCAUCGCUCGUCCCCGACCGCCACUCAUAAGGAAGACAAUCUAUAAACACAUCAUGCUCCAACUUCGUUACAUAACGGUUCACCAUACGUGCAUGCUACGGGACUUGCAAACCUCAACACAAGUAUUUCUCAAUUUCACAAUUACUCAACUAGCACGACUCUAGUAUCGCCACCUUUAUAUCGCAAAACUAUUGCAAGGAAUCAAACAUAUCAUAUUCAGUGAUCUACAAGUUUUAUGUAGGGUUUUAUGACUCACCAUGUGAAUGACCAGUUCCCGUCAUCUCUCUAAAUAGAUAUAAGUGAAGCACGAGAGUUUAAUUCUUUCUACAAAAGAUAUGCCCACGCUCUAACAAAUAUAAGUGAAGCAAAAGAGCAUUCUACAAAUGGCGGUUGUCUAUGUAAAGAGAAACAGGCAAUCCAAGCUUCAAAUGAUAUAAGUGAAGCACAUGAAGCAUUCUAUAAAGCCAUACUCAAAAGAUAUAAGUGAAGUGCAAUGAGCAUUCUAUAAAUCAACCAAGGCCUAUCUCAUACCAGCAUGGUGCAUAAAAGAAAAGUGAAAACUAAAUGCAAAAGACGCUCCAAGAUUUGCACAUAUCACAUGAAUGAAACGAAUCCGAAAACAUACCGAUAUUUGUUGAAGAAAGAGGGGAUGCCUUCCGGGGCAUCCCCAAGCUUAGACGCUUGAGUCUCCUUAAAUAUUUACUUGGGGUGCCUCGGGCAUCCCCAAGCUUGAGCUCUUGCCUCUCUUCCUUCUCACAUCGAGACCUUCUCGAUCAUCGAACACUUCAUCCACACAAAACUCCAAUAGAAAACUCGGUAAGAUCCGUUAGUAUAAUAAAGCAAAUCACUACUCUAAGUACUGUUGCAAACCAAUUCAUAUUUUGUUUUUGCAUUGUGUCUACUGUAAUAUAACUUUUUCAUGGCUUAAUCCACUGAUAUAAAUCGAUAGUUUCAUCAAAACAAGCAAACUAUGCAUCAAAAACAGAAUCUGUCUAAAACCGAACAGUCUGUAAUAAUCUGAACAUUCACCAUACUUCUGAUACUUGAAAAAUUCUGACAAAAUUAGGAAAAAUAAAAAAUUUGUACAGAAAGACAGUGCAAAAAGAAUCAGAACCGUUUGACGUUCCAGUAAAAAAAUUAAAAAUCACGCACUACAGCCAAAGUUUCUGUCCUGCACCGUACAAACCAACAAGCAUUGUAAACAUCCUAAAGGCAAACCUUGGCACAUUAUUUUUUAUUCCUAAGCUUUAUAAAAGCACUCAACAGAAAUAAAUGACUCUCUAAAACUUCCGGGUUGUCUCCCUGGCAGCGCUUUCUUUAAAGCCAUUAAGCUAGGCAUAUAGUGCUCGAGUAGUGAAUCCACCCGGAUCCCAAGGUAUAUCAAAGCCAAUUUUAAUUAGAAAUGAUUUGGCAUUUAGUAGUGAGCACAAAGCAACAUAUAUCAAGCAAUGACGAAGUCUAACUCUCUUCCUAUGCAUCGGCAUGUCAUAAAAGAACAAUUCAUCCACACAUAGUAAAGGCCAAUGCAUAGUAUAAACAGUUUCUUGCAAUUUUAUCGUGUUGGAAACAUAGAGAGGUGGAGAUAUAGUUCCUCUCUCAUAAUAAUUGCAAGUAGGAGCAGCAAGCACAUGCAUAUUAUAUCUAUCAAAAUCAUCAUGUGUAACGGUAAAAGGCAACCCAUCAAUAUAAUCCUUAAUAAAUGCAAACUUCUCCGAUAUAGUGUAGUCGGGAGAAUUCAAAAAGAUAAUAGGACUAUCAUGCGUGGGUGCAAUAGCAACAAUUUCAUGUUUAACAUAAGGAACUAUAGCAAGUUCAUCUCCAUAAGCAUAAUUCAUAUUGGCAUCUUGGCCACAUGCAUAGCAAGAAUCAUCAAAAAGGGAUAUUUCAAGAGAAUCAAUGGGAUCAUAAUAGUCAUCAUAGCAAUCAUCCUUCGGUAAACACGAAGGGAAAUUAAACAAUGUAUGAGUUGAAGAGUUACUCUCAUUAGAAGGUGGGCACGGGUAGCUAAUCCGCUCUUCCUCCUUUUGUUCUUCGCUCUCCUCAUCAUCUUUUUCAUCCAAUGAGCUGACAGUUUCAUCAAUUUCUUCUUCCAUAGACUCCUGCAAAAUAUUGGUCUCUUCUUGGAUAGCGGAGUAGUCCUCAAUAUAUGGUUCAACAUAGGCAUUAGAAGCAUAAUUAUCAUAGCAAUAUUUAAGUAUGGCAAAAUUUUCAGAUUUGUAAAGAGUAGCAUCAUACGUUUCAAUCAAAGAAGCAAUUUUAUAAGCACCCUUAAAAGCAACAAAUUCUUCAAUUUGUUGAAUAUCAUAGUAAUUAUAAACACCCUUAGCAUACGAAGAUAGGAUUCCAUUAUCAAUAAACUCACAUUGGUAGGGGAGGUGUUUCUACAUAUAACAUAAAUUCCAAGCAUAGCAUUGCAAACGAUGAAUUGGACCCAAUAGAAUUUCCCUUUUUCAGAUAUUCGCUGUCGCACAUAACAAGCAUGCUCAUCUAAAGAUUUGCCCUCAACUAAGCUAGUUGGGGUUUCACCAUGAGCACAAAGGGAUCGAAGAUGAUCCAAGUAAAAAGCUUCAGGAGUGUGAUAGAUUUUGAGUGGUUCUUCAACCAUUGGUUCAGUAGGUACAACUACUUUUUUGGUAUUUUGCGUUUCCUACCCAUAACUAAAGAUAGAAAACAACUAAGAACAACAAAUAAAAAUUACUUAGUGAUAAAGCAAACAAGUACACACGAGAAUAUUCACCCCACGCUAUAACUCCCCGGCAACAGCGGCAGAAAAAGGUCUUGAUAACCCACAAGUAUAGGGGAUCAAUUGUAGCCUCUUUCGAUAAGUAAGAGUGUCGAACCCAACGAGGAGCUAAAGGUAGAACAAAUAUUCCCUCAAGUUAUAUCGACCACCGAUAGAAUUGUACGCACACUUGACGUUCGCUUUAUCGAAAACAAGUAUGAAACUAGAAGUACUUUGUAGGUGUUUUUGGAUAGGUUUGCAAGAAUAUAAAGAGAGCGUAAAUAAAAAAUAGGGGCUGUUUAGAUAAAGACACAACUAAAUUAGUUUUAGUAAAGAGCUUGUUGUCACGAGAAAGUUAUUUGUCCCUAGGCAAUCAAUAACUAGACCGGUAAUCAUUAUUGCAAUUUUAUUUGAGGAAGAGGCAUAAGCUAACAUACUUUCUCUACUUGGAUCAUAUGCACUUAUGAUUGGAACUCUAGCAAGCAUCCGCAACUACUAAAGAUCAUUAAGGUAAAACCCAACCAUAGCAUUAAAGCAUCAAGUCCCCUUUAUCCCAUACACAAACAACCUACUUACUCGGGUCCGUGCUUCUGUCACUCACGCCACCCACCAUAAGCAAAUCAUGAACAUAUUGCAAACCCUACACCGGGAAUCCCUCACGCUUGCGUGACAUGGAGAGCACCAUAGGACAGCACCAAUAAUAAAACAUGCAACUCAAACCAAUCUUGAUCAUUAAAUAGCCCAUAGGACAAAACGAAUCUACUCAAACAUCAUAGGAUAGCCAUACAUCAUUGGGAAAUAAUAUAUAGCGUUGAGCACCAUGUUUAAGUAGAGAUUACAGCGGGUAAGAGAGAGGUUACACCGCUGCAUAGAGGGGGGAAGAGUUGGUGAUGAUGGCGGUGAAGUUGUUGGUGAAGAUUGCGGUGAUGAUGAUGGCCACGGCGGUGUUCCGGCGUCACCGGAAGAGAAGGGGAGAGGGGGCCCCUUCGUCUUCUUCUUCCUUGACCUCCUCCCUAGAUGGGAGAAGGGUUUCCCCUCUGGUCCUUGGCCUCCAUGGCGUGGGAGGGGCGAGAGCCCCUCCGAGAUUGGAUCCGUCUCUCUGUCUCUCUCUGUUUCUGCGUUCUAUUCUGCUGCCCUUUCACCGUUUCGUAUAUAUAUGGAGAUCCGUAACUCCGAUUGGACUGAAACCUUCGCCGUGAUUUUUUUACCAAAAAUUAGCUUUCUUGCGGCCGAAGAAGGGCAUCAACCGCCUUACGGGUGGCCCACGAGGGUCAGGGGCGUGCCCAGGGGGCAGGGGCGCCCCCCUGCCUCGUGGCCACCUCGGGCACUGUCUCGCGUGGAUUUUUCUUCCGGAAUUUUCCAAAUAUUCCAAAAAUAAGCUCCAUCCAUUUUUAUCCCAUUUGGAUUCCGUUUGAUAUGGAUAUUCUGCGAAACAUAAAACUUGCAACAAACAGGAACUGGCACUGGGCACUGGAUCAAUAUGUUAGUCCCAAAAAUAGUAUAAAAAGUUGCCAAAAAGUAUAUGAAAGUUGAAUAAUAUUGGCAUGGAACAAUAAAAAAUUAUAGAUACGACGGAGACGUAUCACGGUGGAAUUAGGUUUUCGUGGAUGCUUCUGUUGGUUUGGGGGUACGUAGGUAUAUAUAGGAGGAAGAAGUACGUCGGUGGAGCAACGUGGGCCCCAUGAGGGUGGAGGGCGCGCCCCGGGGGGUAGGCGCGCCCCCUGCCUCGUGCUCUCCUGGUUGCUUUCUUGAUGUAGGGUCAAAGUCCUCUGGAUCACGUUCGUUCCGAAAAUCACGUUCUCAAAGGUUUCAUUCCGUUUGGACUCCGUUUGAUAUUCUUUUUCUGCGAAACUCUGAAAUAGGCAAAAAACAGCAAUUUGGGCUGGGCCUCCGGUUCAUAGGUUAGUCCCGAAAAUAAUAUAAAAGUGUAUAACAAACCCCAUUAAACAUCAAAAACAGAAUAUAAUAUAGCAUGAAGCAAUCAAAAAUUAUAGAUACGUUGGAGACGUAUCAACCAUGCCCAAGCUUAAUUCCUGCUCGUCCUCGAGUAGGUAAAUGAUAAAAACAGAAUUUUUGAUGCGGAAUGCUACUUGGCAUAAUUUUUUAAUGUAACCCUCUUAAUUGUGGUAUGAAUAUUCAGAUCCGAAAGAUUCAAGAUAAAAGUUUAAUAUUGACGUAAAAAUAAUAAUACUUCAAGCAUACUAACUAAGCAAUUAUGUCUUCUCAAAAUAACAUGGCCAAAGAAAGUUCAUCCCUACAAAAUCAUAUAGUUUAGUCAUGCUCCAUUUUCGUCACACAAGAAUGCUCUCAUCAUGCACAACCCCGAUGACAAGCCAAGCAAUUGUUUCAUACUUUAGUAAUCUCAAACUUUUUCAACCUUCAAGCAAUACAUGAGCGUGAGCCAUGGAUAUAGCACUAUGGGUGGAAUAUAAUAUAAUGAUGGGGGUUAUGUGGAGAAGAAAAAAAGGAGAAAGUCUCACAUCAACGCGGCUAAUCAAUGGGCUAUGGAGAUGCCCAUCGAUUGAUGUUAAUGCAAGGAGUAGGGAUUGCCAUGCAACGGAUGCACUAGAGCUAUAAAUGCAUAAGAGCUCAACCAAAGAAACUAAGUGGGUGUGAAUCCAACUUGCUUGCUCAGGAAGACCUAGGGCAUUUGAGGAAGCCCAUUGUUGGAAUAUACAAGCCAAGUUCUAUAAUGAAAAAUUCCCACUAGUAUAUGAAAGUGACAAAACAAGAGACUCUCUAUCAUGAAGAUCAUGGUGCUACUUUAAAGCACAAGUGUGGAAAAAAAGGAUAGUAGCAUUGUCCCUUUAUAUAUAUAUAUAUAUAUAUUUGGGCCUCUUUUUUAUUUGGCCUUUCUCUAUUUUUUGGGACAAUGCUCUAUGAAUGAUGAUCAUCACACUUCUAUUUAUUUGCAACUCAAUGAUUACAACUCGAUACUAGAACAAGGUAUGACUCUAUAUGAACGCCUCCGGCGGUAUACCGGGAUAGGCAAUGAAUCAAGAGUGACAUGUAUGAAAAAUUAUGAACGAUGGCUUUGCCACAAAUACGACGUCAACUACAUGAUCAUGCAAAGCAAUAUGACAAUGAUGAACAUGUCAUGAUAAACGGAACGGUGGAAAGUUGCAUGGCAAUAUAUCUCGGAAUGGCUAUGGAAAUGCCAUAAUAGGUAGGUAUGGUGGCUGUUUUGAGGAAGAUAUAAGGAGGUUUAUGUGUGAUAGAGCGUAUCAUAUCACGGGGUUUGGAUGCACCGGCGAAGUUUUCACCAACUCUCAAUGUGAGAAAGGGCAAUGCACGGUACCGAAGAGGCUAGCAAUGAUGGAAUGGUAAGAGUGCGUAUAAUCCAUGGACUCAACAUUAGUCAUAAAGAACUCACAUACUUAUUGCAAAAAUCUACUAGUCAUCAAAAACCAAGCAUUACGCGCAUGCUCCUAGGGGGAUAGAUUGGUAGGAAAAGACCAUCGCUCGUCCCCGACCGCCACUCAUAAGGAAGACAAUCAAAGAACACCUCAUGUUUCAAAUUUGUUACAUAACGUUUACCAUACGUGCAUGCUACGGGACUGACAAACUUCAACACAAGUAUUUCUCAAUUUCAAAACUACUCAACUAGCACAACUUUAAUAUCACUACCUCCAUAUCUCAAAACAAUCAUCAAGCAUCAAACUUCUCUUAGUAUUCAGCACACUCAUAAGAAAGUUUUUACUAGUCUUGAAUACCUAGCAUAGUAGGAUUAAUUUUCCUAUUUAAGCAAAUUACCAUGCUGUUUAAGACUCUCAAAAUAAUAUAAGUGAAGCAUGAGAGAAUAAUAGUUUCUAUAAAACAAAACCACCGCCGUGCUCUAAAAGAUAUAAGUGAAGCACUAGAGCAAAAACUAUAUAGCUCAAAAGAUAUAAGUGAAGCACAUAGAGUAUUCUAACAAAUUCCGAAUCAUGUGUGUCUCUAUCAAAAGGUGUGUACAGAAAAGAUGAUUGUGGUAAACUAAAAAGCAAAGACUCAAAUCAUACGAGACGCUCCAAGCAAAACACAUAUCAUGUGGUGAAUAAAAAUAUAGCUCCAAGUAAAGUUACCAACGGAAGUAGACGAAAGAGGGGAUGCCUUCCGGGGCAUCCCCAAGCUUUUGCUUUUUGGUGUCCUUAGAUUAUCUUGGGGUGCCAUGGGAAUCCCUAAGCUUAGGCUCUUGCCACUCCUUGUUCCAUAAUCCAUCAAAUCUUUUACUCAAAACUUGAAAACUUCACAACACAAAACUUAACAGAAAAUCUCGUGAGCUCCGUUAGCGAAAGAAAACAAAAGACCACUUCAAGGUACUGUAAUGAACUCAUUCUUUAUUUAUAUUGGUGUUAAAACCACUGUAUUCCAACUUCUCUAUGGUUUAUAAACUAUUUUACUAGCCAUAGAUUCAUCAAAAUAAGCAAACAACACACGAAAAACAGAAUCUGUCAAAAACAGAGCAGUCUGUAGUAAUCUGUAACUAACGUAAACUUCUGGAACUCAAAAAAUUCAGCCAAAAUAGGACGACCUAGAAAAUUUGUUUAUUGAUCAGAAGCAAUUGGAAUCAAUAUUUUAUCACGUUCUGAUGAUUUUUAACAAUUGUUUUCGUGAACAGAAAGUUUCUGGAAUUUUCAGCAAGAUCAAAUAACUAUCAUCCAAGAAGAUCCUAUAGGUUUAACUUGGCACAAACACUAAUUAAAACAUAAAAAAAUCUAACCAGAGGCUAGAUCAAAGAUUUAUUCCUAAACAGAAGCAAAAAGCAAAAAAACUAAAAAUAAAAUUGGGUUGCCUCCCAACAAGCGCCGUCGUUUAACGCCCUUAGCUAGGCAUAAAAGCAAGGAUAGAUCUAGGUAUUGCCAUCUUUGGUAGGCAAUCCAUAAGUGGCUCUGAUAAUAGAUUCAUAUGGUAGUUUAAUUUUCUUUCUAGGGAAGUGUUCCAUGCCUUUCUUUAACGGAAAUUGGAAUCUAAUGUUUCCUUCCUUCAUAUCAAUAAUUGCACCAAUCGUUCUAAGGAAAGGUCUACCAAGAAUAAUAGGACAUGAAGGAUUGCAAUCUAUGUCAAGAACAAUAAAAUCUACGGGCACAUAGUUCCUAUUUGCAACAAUAAGAACAUCAUUAAUUCUUCCCAUAGGUUUUUUAAUGGUGGAAUCCGCAAGGUGCAAGUUCGAAGAACAAUCAUCAAAUUCACGGAAACCUAGCAAAUCACACAAAGUUUUUGGAAUUGUGGAAACACUAGCACCCAAGUCACACAAAGCAUAGCAUUCAUGGUCUUUAAUUUUAAUUUUAAUAGUAGGUUCCCACACAUCAUAAAGUUUUCUAGGGAUAGAAACUUCGAACUCAAGUUUUUCUUCAUAAGAUUGCAUCAAAGCAUCAACGAUAUGUUUAGUAAACGCUUUAUUUUGACUAUAAGCAUGAGGAGAAUUUAGCACGGAUUGUAAUAAGGAAAUACAAUCUAUCAAAGAGCAAUUAUCAUAAUUAAAUUCCUUGAAAUCCAAAAUAGCGGGUUCAUUAAUAUCUAGAGUUUUGAUCUCUUCAAUCCCACUUUUACCAAUUUUUGCAUCAAGAUCUAUAAACUCCAAAUUUUUGGAACGCCUUCUAGGUAAAGGUGGCUCAUAUUCAGUCCCAUCAUUAUCAAGAUUCAUAUUGGAAAACAGAGAUUUAAUAGGGGACACAUCAAUAACUUUUAGAUCUUCAUCUUUAUUCUCAGAAAAAAUUCCGGUUUAGCGGCCAUCUUAUUAACUAAGUGUAAUGCCCCGAGACCGACGCUCCAGAAGCCUUCCAGUUAUUUCAUUGUUGUCGUGUGUUUUAUUUGUUUGUUGCAUUCAUCAUCGCAUCAUUCGCAUUGCAUCGGCACUCUGUUGCCGUCAUUGUUUUCAAACUUGCAUUCGUUCGUAGUUGCCGCGUUCCCCCCCUUGUCUUCGUUGACCGUUCCGAGACCAACCGUGUUUUCGGUUCCCUCUUGUCAAACCAUCUAACCUCUCUCGUCAGCCCGCGAUCCCCUCCCGCGCGUCCGAAAGUUGUUCCGUACCCGACCCGGUUUGUUGUUACCGUUGGGUCCGGAUCAUCCCCUAACAUCUACAAAACAUCUCCGUUUUCUUAUUUGGACUCCCUACCUAUUAUUUUCUCGAUCGUCCAAUUUUAAUCGGAGGGACCAAAUACCCCUAUUCAAAAAUUCACUUGUUAUUUAAAGACUAACCCUAAAACCUAGGGAGCUUGUCCCAUCAGUCCCGUCCCGCCGCCAGCCGCGAGAUCCACCUCGUUUUUCCCCAUCCACCCAAAUGGUAGCCUCCACCUCUCCUCCCGAUUCACCUCCAUCGAUCCCAACACCACCAGGCCACUGCCUUGUCGUCCCUCCCCUUCCUCUGCCCUGCCUCUGCUCGCUCGUUGCCGCGCGAACGGAAGCGGAGCGGCCGAAGCCACCAGGAUCCCGUCGCCGGAGUCGUCCAGCCAGGUCCUUGUCCGUUCCCUUUCUCCUUCUUUUCCCUCUCUGGUUUUCUCUCCCUCUACUCAUCCCUCUGCUCGCUGCUCUCCCUCUCUCUGUUGUCCUCGUAGCGCCGCCAUGGAGGCCCCAACUCCAACCCGUAGCCGUUGCGCUACCGGAGUCGUCAUCACCUCGCGCGCCUCGUCCAGCUCGAGAUCUGGAGGAUCCCCGUCGUCAGCCACCUUGAGCCACCCCGCGUCAAGCUCGUCUGCCGCGCUGCCCCGCCGGACCUCUCCUGCAGCCGAGCCCCUCUCCCCAGCGUCCACGUCGCCAAGUACCUCGACCAGCCGGAGCUUCUUCCAGCCACGCGCGCCCGAGCCCCCGAGCUCCUCUGGUCGCGCACGAGCUCCCUGACCUCGACGGCCACUUCGCCAGCCUCGUCGCCGCCGUUGACUCGCAGGCUAGCACCUUGCCUCCUCCUCCCGUCCUCUUCUUCGGCUUCCCCUCUCUCUAAUCCCUCUCUCUCCCAGAUACUCCGUCGCCAUGGAUGCCAGCCGCUGCAUCGUCUCUGCAUCGAGCGCCGCUCGACCCCACAUUGGCCCGUCGCCCCGCCAAGCCACGCCAUCCUCCUGCCAGCGCCCGCCUGGGAUGAACGCAGCGUCGCCCCGCUCGCCUUCUUCGUGUGCCUGCGCCUCACGCCGAGCUCGUCCUCGAGCACGACACUGCCUUGUUGACCGCCGUCGUUCAGGCCAGGCCUCCCCUGCUCCUUUCCUUCUCCUUCCCUGCCUUCUACUCCCUCCUCUCACAUCUCUCUCUCACAGGGACCGCCAUGGUCGUCGCCCGGCCGUCGCCCUGUCAAGAAUCUUCGCUGGACCCCGUGGGGCUUCGUCUGGCUGGAUCUGCCGCGCCCGGCCGCGCCGGAGACCACCAGCGUCGCCCCCUGCAUCCUCUGCUUCGUCUCGACCACGCCCCUGCCUCGCGUUGACUCGCACAGCACCCCAGUGCCCGCACCUGGGCCACCGCUGUUACGGUCCAGCGGCCCCCUCCGUUGCGCCAGGCCCAGUGCGCCCAAGGCCUCCUCUGUAGAUGGGCCAAGGCCCGCUGGGUGAGCCUCCAGCGCCCACCCUCCUUUUGGCCCUGCCAGAUUCGGCCUGCCAUGUUUUUUUUGCUCCGGACGAAUUUCUCUUUUAUCCAGGAGUUUACAGAUUUGCAAAAAAACCCUUGAACAUCAUGCAUAUAAUAACUCACAAAUGGUGCAUCGGAUUAAGAUGAUUUUAACAUGUAAAAUGCUCAGAAAUUUGUGUAGUUUAAUAAUAUGCCACUCUCCAUGUUUAAAAUGAUGUUUGUUUAAAUUUGCUUAAAUGCCAGGUUCAAAUGAUUUAUUUCAUAACUAAUUAACCGUAACUCGGAUUUAAAUAAACUUUAUAUGCAAAUGGGGUAGAAAAAUGCCUAGUUUAACAUGGUGCACUUUAUUUUGCUGGUUAACAACAUUAAAAUUGUGUUUAUGGCAGAACAGUACCAAAUUCAAAAUAUGCAUUUGAGGGUUUUCCGGAUUUGUUAUUUGUUGUUCCGGCCUCAUUUAAACUUGCCUAAAUAGUUAGUUUACUUAUGCUUCACCUCUGGCCAUGCUAAUCAACAUUUAAUAUUGACGAGUAACAUAAAGAAGAGCGAACUAAAUAAUUGAUGUGGUGUUUUGUCAAUAUGCAACUCGUUGCAUAUUGAGCUCCACUUAACUGGUAGUAUUGUUUGUUGCACUUUGCCAUGCCACGUAUAUUUAAACCGGACAUGCAUCAUACUUGUUUGUGCAUCAUGCCAUGUUUAUGUGACGGUUGUUUACUAUGUUGUUUGUUUCUUUCCGGGUUGCUUCUCUCGUUAGCUUUGGUUUCGUUCCGGAGUUGUGAGGAUUCGUUCGACUACGUCCGCUUGUCUUCUUCAUGGACUCGUUCUUCUUCCUUGCGGGUUUUCAGGCAAGAUGACCAUACCCUCGAAAUCACUUCUAUCUUUGCUUGCUAGCUGUUCGCUCUAUUGCUAUGUAGCGCUACCUACCACUUGUUAUAUCAUGCCUCCCUUAUUGCCAUGUCAGCCUCUAACCUUUUCACCCUUCCUAGCAAACCGUUGCUUGGCUAUGUUACCGCUUUUGCUCAGCCCCUCUUAUAGCGUUGCUAGUAGCAGGUGAAGACGAAGAUUGCUCCAUGUUGGAUUAUGUUUAUGUUGGGAUAUCACAAUAUCUCUUAUUUUAAUUAACACAUCUAUAUACUUGGUAAAGGGUGGAAGGCUCGGCCUUAUGCCUGGUGUUUUGUUCCACUCUUGCCGCCCUAGUUUCCGUCAUACCGGUGUUAUGUUCCUUGAUUUUGCGUUCCUUACGCGGUUGGGUGAUUUAUGGGACCCCCUUGACAGUUCGCUUUGAAUAAAACUCCUCCAGCAAGGCCCAACCUUGGUUUUACCAUUUGCCUACCUAAGCCUUUUUCCCUUGGGUUCUGCAGACUCAAGGGUCAUCUUUAUUUUAAACCCCGGGCCAGUGUUCCUCUGAGUGCUGCUCCAAACUAGAGCCACUUGCAGCGCCACCUCGGGGAAACUCGAGGUCUGGUUUUAGUUGUACGUAGUGUUCAUCCGAUGUGCCCUGAGAACGAGAUAUGUGCAGCUCCUAUCAGGAUUUGUCGGCAUAUUCGGGCGGCUUUGCUGGUCUUGUUUUACCAUUAUCGAAAUGUCUUGUAAACCGGGAUUCCGAGACUGAUCGGGUCUUCCCGGGAGAAGGUUUAUCCUUCGUUGACCGUGAGAGCUUUUAAUGGGCUAAGUUGGGACACCCCUGCAGGGUAUUAUCUUUCGGAAGCCGUUCCCACGGUUAUGUGGCAGAUGGGAAUUUGUUAAUAUCCGGUUGUAGAGAACUUGACACUUGACCUUUAUUAAAACGCAUCAACCGCGUGUGUAGCCGUGAUGGUCUCUUCUCGGCGGAGUCCGAGAAGUGAACACGGUUUCUGGGUUAUGUUUGACGUAAGUAGAGGUUCAGGAUCACUUCUUGAUCAUUGCUAGCUGGCGACCGUUCCAUUGCUCCUCUUCUCGCUCUUAUUUGCGUAUGUUAGCCACCAUAUAUGCUAGUGCUUGCUGCAGCUCCACCUCACCACCCCUUUUCCUUCCUAUGAGCUUAAAUAGUCUUGAUCUCGCGGGUGUGAGAUUGCUGAGUCCUCGUGACUCACAGAUACUUCCAAACAGUUGCAGGUGCCGAUGAGACCAGUGCAGGUGAUGCAACUGAGCUCAAGUGGGAGCUCGAUGAAGAUCUUGGUCGUUGUGUUGUUUCUUUUCAUGUUGUUCAGUAGUGGAGCCCAGUCGGGACGAUCGGGGAUCUAGCAGUUGGGUUGUCUUCUUUUCUUUUGGUUCCGUAGUCGGACCUAUGUGUGUAUCUUGAAUGUUGUAUGAUUCUAUUUAUGUAUUGUGUGAAGUGGCGAUUGUAAGCCAACUCUUUAUCCCAUUCUUUUUCAUUACAUGGGAUUGUGUGAAGAUGACCCUUCUUGCGACAAAACCACAAUGCGGUUAUGCCUCUAAGUCGUGCCUCGACACGUGGGAGAUAUAGCCGCAUCGUGGGCGUUAUAAGUUGGUAAUCAGAGCCAUCCCUGACUUAGGAGCCCCCUGCUUGAUCGAAUCGCUGACGUUGUUGAGUCUAGAACAAAAAAUGUUUUGAUUCUGAGGAUUAUAUAUAUCGGAGAGUAGGAUUCUUUUUACUCCUCAGUCCCUUCGUCGCUCUGGUGAGGCCUCCUGACGUAGAACUUUUGACUCUUCUCUCCUCAAAUUUCACUAAAUUUUUUUUAGGAUCACGCGGGUAUCUUGGAAUCGUUCCGAUGGUUUUGUGACGAGAACAUUGUUCUUGGUGCCUCCUGACAUUUAGGGGUUGUGGCAGUGUCCCGGGGAGUUGAGCUCCGAGGUGUUGUUGUCACAAUUUUAUCGUUGCAGUUCUGGAAUACCUGAGUUUCGCCGACAUCGAAAUCUCUUUUAUGCAGUUGUUGGUGAGAUCACCUCGACGCCACCCAGUACUGGGGCGGGAGUUCGGGAGUAUUGCCAUAACUCGGAUAACGGAUGCUUUUCGAAGGUUGAGGUACACGAUUUCCGAAGGUUUCUUGGUUAUGUGUUGACGGAUGGAUACAGCUGGAUCUAGGGAUUGCUAGUUUGGGUGAUAUAUUUUGUGUCCCCUGUAUCCCCAACACCAGAUUGCAUAACCAGAAAGUUUCGGGAGUUUAUAAGUGGGGAUUCAAGUAGCUCUUAGGAUAUCUUUCCGACAAACGCAUGAUAUGAGAUUGGGGUUCGACGUCUAGUGGUCCGUUUGUACACGGUUGGUUUUACAGUGGUCUCGUAGUGUCUUAAAGAGUCCUUGGCUAUGCCAACUCGGGGACGCUUCGUAUGUCAUGUGCACAGCCUUGUACAUGAUGGUGCUGUACGAUUGAGCCCGUGUGGGCCCCACCACGAAAACUUUGGACGAAAUCUCUAUCAUAUGUUUGUUCCGGCUUAUUCUGCAAGCCAAAUCCUUUGUUUUGUUUUUAUUUGUGGUAUUCGAGUUGCUUCGAAGUCAAAUGUUGAAUCCAUACCUUUCCUAAACAGUGUUCUCAUAUUGCUAUGUGAAUACUAAUCCUUCUUGACCAUCGAGUUUGUCAUCCCAAUUCUUUCCAACCGACGUGCUCUUUUUCAAGUGGAUCCGAUCAUUUUAACAUUCGCGAGAUCAAUUCUUAGUUCUUUGCAAUGGUGUUUGCUUCAUCCGUCCCAAGUUGUCUUUGUUUUUUUCCCGCCCUCCCACCCUUUUUCUUGAAACACUCAGAUUUCUUAACCAAGUAUCCAUUUUAUUCACGUGAAGUCCCUUCAUUCUUUUCAAUCAAUGUUCUUACCUGGUGGUUCUCAUGAAGAUGUUCUUCAAGCUUUUCAUUCUUCAUUCUUUUUCUUCUCCGGUGGACUAAAUUCAAGCCUUCAAUGUUGGUCACAUUCCUUUCCCUGUUUCAAAUGUUUUCUCAUGCCGGUGUAUCUCUUAAUCAUCCACCUCUUGCUAUUCAUGUUUUUUUUGGAGUGCUGAAGAUAUCUCAGGAGACUCGCAUUUCCAUUCCCAAUCCGUUCAAGCUAUCUCGAGGUUGUUAUCUCUUUUGAGCCAUUUAAUUCAACCGGUGCAAUCUCCUUUUCAAGUAAUCAUUUCAACGGUGUUUCUUUUGAGUGGGCCCUAACCCACAGGUCUUUUCCAGGAUCUUACCUGACUCUUCUAAUUUUUCCCCGGAGCUUCUAAAAAUUCUUUUCAAAGUCUGACGUAAGAAUGAGUUAUCAUCAGUCAUAUUUCUUCUCCAAGAUCUUUCAAAUUCUUUUCAUCGUUGGUUCAACCUUUCUAAUUUUCAUCCCGGAGUAUCUCAACAAUUUAUGGUGGUGUUUCUUGUCAUCAUUCUCAACAUUUGAAGACCGAAGAAGAGUUUUUCCUCCAAAUCUUAUCCGUUCUCUCAAGAUUCAUGGUUCUAGCUUGAUGCCAUCCUCUCAUAAUUGUUUUCGAUGGUGAGAAUUCUUUUCAACCACCCGGAGCAUUUCAGAAGUCUUUUCAGUUUGAUUCUCCGGAGCCCACCAUCUCAGAAUUAUUCAUUCAAGCUUUCAGCUCUCGUUCCCCAAAUCUUACCGGUGCAUCAUUCAAGUAUUCUCUAAUCAGCUUGUGAUCUCUUCGUUCUCACGUAUUUAAAUUCUGUCAAGUAUCUUUAUUCGUUUUCUGAUUCUUCCCGGUGUUUUUUUCUUUAUCUUAUCUUCGUUGAUUUUCAGAUUCUCGCGGUGGUUCGUUCAAGAUUUCUCUUCCCUCGUUAUCAUAUCAAUUCAUUCGUUGUUUCCAAAUCCUACCGGUGGUUCGAUGAAGACCUUCACAAGUUUGCGCAAUAUCUAUCUUAAUCCUUUCUACGAGAAUAAGUAGUAUGCCAAAUCCGUUGAUUGUCAUCAAUUUAUAUUGGUGAAGGAUACGCAUAACAUAAUUCUUAUUAUUGUUUCAUCCAAGUGAUCUAAUUUCUUCUUUCCGGAGUUGUUCAUCAUAUCAAAUUUUCGGUUCAAAGUUGUUCAUCUUUUCUUUCCGGAGAUCCAAGUUAUUUCAAUUAUAUUAUUUCAAAGCUUCAGCUAAUCAUUGCAAGGUUUCUCCCGGAGUUCUUUUCAAUUUUCCAUUUCGUUUGAUCAUUCUUUUAUUACCGGAGUUCUUCAUGGAGGCUCUACAUGGUGGUUCAUCAAGGAUUCUUUUCAUUCCUCAAUUGUUCUUCAAGAUUUUCUCGAAGUUAAGAUCCGCUAAACUAUACUCUUAAAUAAAGAUGGUGCUCAACAUAUGUUUUGUUUUGUGGAGUCCAAGCAUUCUUCAUCUUGCAUUCUAAAGUGCAAUUCGUUCUACCUUAUCAUUUGAGGCGGUGUUAUGUCAUUCUUGACAGUUUGAGUUCGCGUUUCAUGAUUCACAUGUUGUCAAGAAUGAGAUAUUUUAAAUCCACCAAUCUCUUCGUUGGAUUUAUCUUGUGUCAUGUUUCACCUAAAGCUUUCCCUAAGGAUUUUUGCUAUUUAUGGUGCUCAUAAAUGACCCAAGUUCUUCAUUUAUCCUCCCGGCGAAAUAAGUUUCUCGUCUCCUUGUUCAUAUCAAUCCAAUCUAUUGUUUUCCGUUAGUGGCAGAAUUUCAACUCAAGUUUUUGAGAUGUUUUCCUUAAGCCCACAACAAGCUUGUUCUUUCGUUGUUGAUUUUUCCAACAACUCCGUUCAAUCCUACUUCGUAAAGAUGCUCCUUAAAAUUCAAUUAUGGUAGGAGAUGUUGGUUUCACUCUUUGUUCUAUUCACUCCAACUAUCUAACUAUCAUGCAUUGUUUCCGGAGGUUUUGUGAUGUUGCUCUCUUCGACCAAUCAUCUUGUUUUGUCAAGAUCAUGUAAAUUUUCCUUUCUUAUCCGUUUAACCAGAGUGUCGUGCCCUCUUUUCAAGUUCUUCCCAUUCUGUCAAGUUUUGUCUCCUUCCUCAACCGGAGUGCUGUCUGAAAUCUUUCUUACCCCUUGUGCCAUUCUUUCAUUAGUUCCGGAGAAAAUGUGUUGUUAAUUUCAUCGAGUAUCCUCUCAUCUUGUCAAGAUCAUGUUCAAUUCCUUCCAUUUACAGUCGGAGUGCUUCCCAAAUUAUAUCAUUCUUAUUCCUUCUCUAUCUUGUUUUAACCGGAGUGGUUUAAAUAUCUAUUGUGUCACUUAACCUCAAGGUUCUCAUGGAGUUCCUUGUUUCUCUUUUCUACCGGUGUGUUUUCAUAUUCCUUUUGAUCCGUUAAGCUAUUUUCCAUGCUUUUCAACCUACAAGGUUCUUGUAAGGUUCCUUGUUCCUCUUUGAUAACGGAGUGUUUUAAAUUUUGAUCAACUCUGUCGUAUUCUUCUUUCAAGUUUUCAACCUCUCAAGGUUCUUUGGUUUCACUCGUUUGUCAAAGAAGCAAUUUGUUUUACCUCUUCCUCUUCCGCUUUUCUCCGGUGCCAUCCUAGAUCUCGGGACGAGAUCCUCUUGUAGUGGUGGAGUGUUGUAAUGCCCCGAGACCGACGCUCCAGAAGCCUUCCAGUUAUUUCAUUGUUGUCGUGUGUUUUAUUUGUUUGUUGCAUUCAUCAUCGCAUCAUUCGCAUUGCAUCGGCACCCUGUUGCCGUCAUUGUUUUCAAACUUGCAUUCGUUCGUAGUUGCCGCGUUCCCCCCUUGUCUUUGUUGACCGUUCCGAGACCAACCGUGUUUUCGGUUCCCUCUUGUCAAACCAUCUAACCUCUCUCGUCAGCCCGCGAUCCCCUCCCGCGCGUCCGAAAGUUGUUCCGUACCCAACCCGGUUUGUUGUUACCGUUGGGUCCGGAUCAUCCCCUAACAUCUACAAAACAUCUCCAUUUUCUUAUUUGGACUCCCUACCUAUUAUUUUCUCGAUCGUCCGAUUUUAAUCGGAGGGACCAAAUACCCCUAUUCAAAAAUUCACUUGUUAUUUAAAGACUAACCCUAAAACCUAGGGAGCUUGUCCCAUCAGUCCCGUCCCGCCGCCAGCCGCGAGAUCCACCUCGUUUUUCCCCAUCCACCCAAAUGGUAGCCUCCACCUCUCCUCCCGAUUCACCUCCAUCGAUCCCAACACCACCAGGCUGCUGCCUUGUCGUCCGUCCCCUUCCUUUGCCCUGCCUCUGCUCGCUCGCUCCCGCGCGAACGGAAGCGGAGCGGCCAAAGCCACCAGGAUCCCGUCGCCGAAGUCGUCCAGCCAGGUCCUUGUCUGUUCCCUUUCUCCUUCUUUUCCCUCUCUGGUUUCCUCUCCCUCUGCUCAUCCCUCUGCUCGCUGCUCUCCCUCUCUCUGUUGUCCUCGUAGCGCUGCCAUGGAGGCCCCAGCUCCAACCCGUAGCCGCUGCGCUACCGGAGUCGUCAUCACCUCGCGCGUCUUGUCCAGCUCGAGAUCCGGAGGAUCCCCGUCGUCAGCCACCUCGAGCUACCCCGCGUCAAGCUCCUCUGCCGCGCUGCCCCACCGGACCUCUCCUGCAGCUGAGCCCCUCUCCCCGGCGUCCACGUCGCCAAGUACCUGGACCAGCCGGAGCUUCUUCCAGCCUCGCGCGCCCGAGCCCCUGAGCUCCUCUGGUCGCGCACGAGCUCCAUGACCUCGACGGCCACUUCGUCAGCCUCGUCGCCGCCGUUGACUCGCAGGCCAGCACCUUGCCUCCUCCUCCCGUCCUCUUCUUCGGCUUCCCCUCUCUCUAAUCCCUCUCUCUCCCAGAUACUCCGUCGCCAUGGAUGCCAGCCGCUGCAUCGUCUCUGCAUCGAGCGCCGCUCGACCCCGCGUUGGCCCGUCGCCCCGCCAAGCCGCGCCAUCCUCCUGUCAGCGCCCGCCUGGGAUGAACGCAGCGUCGCCCCGCUCGCCUUCUUCGUGUGCCUGCGCCUCACGCCGAGCUCGUCCUCGAACACGACGCCGCCUUGUUGACCGUCGUCGUUCAGGUCAGGCCUCCCCCACUCCUUUCCUUCUCCUUCCCUGCCUUCUACUCCCUCCUCUCACAUCUCUCUCUCACAGGGACCGCCAUGGUCAUCGCCCGGCCGUCGCCCUGUCAAGAAUCGUCGCCGGACCCCGUGGGGCUCCGUCUGGCUGGAUCUGCCGCGCCCGGCCGCGCCGGAGACCACCAGCGUCGCUCCUGCAUCCUCUGCUUCGUCUCGACCACGCCCCUGCCUCGUGUUGACUCGCACAGCGCCCCAGCGCCUGCGCCUAGGCCACCGCUGUUACGGUCCAGCGGCCCCCUCCGUUGCGCCAGGCCCAGUGCGCCCAAGGCCUCCUCUGUAGAUGGGCCAAGGCCCGCUGGGUGAGCCUCCAGCGCCCACCCUCCUUUUGGCCCUGCCAGAUUCGGCCUGCCAUGUUUUUUUCUGCUCCGGACGAAUUUCUCUUUUAUCCAGGAGUUUACAGAUUUGUAGAAAAACCCUUGAACAUCAUGCAUAUAAUAACUCACAAAUGGUGCAUCGGAUUAAGAUGAUUUUAACAUGUAAAAUGCUCAGAAAUUUGUGUAGUUUAAUAAUAUGCCACUCUAAUCCAUGUUUAAAAUGUUUAAAAUGAUGUUUGUUUAAAUUUGCUUAAAUGCCAGGUUCAAAUGAUUUAUUUCAUAACUAAUUAACCGUAACUCGGAUUUAAAUAAACUUUAUAUGCAAAUGGGGUAGAAAAAUGCCUAGUUUAACAUGGUGCACUUUAUUUUCCUGGUUAACAACAUUAAAAUUGUGUUUAUGGCAGAACAGUACCAAAUUCAAAAUAUGCAUUUGAGGAUUUUCCGGAUUUGUUAUUUGUUGUUCCGGCCUCAUUUAAACUUGCCUAAAUAGUUAGUUUACUUAUGCUUCACCUCUUGCCAUGCUAAUCAACAUUUAAUAUUGACGAGUAGCAUAAACAAGAGCGAAGUAAAUAAUUGAUGUGGUGUUUUGUCAAUAUGCAACUCGUUGCAUAUUGAGCUCCACUUAACUUGUAGUAUUGUUUGUUGCACUUUGCCAUGCCACACAUAUUUAAACCGGACAUGCAUCAUACUUGUUUGUGCAUCAUGCCAUGUUUAUGUGAUGGUUGUUUACUAUGUUGUUUGUUUCUUUCCGGGUUGCUUCUCUCGUUAGCUUCGGUUUCGUUUCGGAGUUGUGAGGAUUCGUUCGACUACGUCCGCUUGUCUUCUUCAUGGACUCGUUCUUCUUCCUUGCGGGUUUUCAGGCAAGAUGACCAUACCCUCGAAAUCACUUCUAUCUUUGCUUGCUAGCUGUUCGCUCUAUUGCUAUGUAGCGCUACCUACCACUUGUUAUAUCAUGCCUCCCUUAUUGCCAUGUCAGCCUCUAACCUUUUCACCCUUCCUAGCAAACUGUUGCUUGGCUAUGUUACCGCUUUUGCUCAGCCCCUCUUAUAGCGUUUCUAGUAGCAGGUGAAGACGAAGAUUGCUCCAUGUUGGAUUAUGUUUAUGUUGGGAUAUCACAAUAUCUCUUAUUUUAAUUAACGCAUCUAUAUACUUGAUAAAGGGUGGAAGGCUCGGCCUUAUGCCUGGUGUUUUGUUCCACUCUUGCCGCCCUAGUUUCCUUCAUACUGGUGUUAUGUUCCUUGAUUUUGCGGUCCUUACGCGGUUGGGUGAUUUAUGGGACCCCCUUGACAGUUCGCUUUGAAUAAAACUCCUCCAGCAAGGCCCAACCUUGGUUUUACCAUUUGCCUACCUAAGCCUUUUUCCCUUGGGUUCUGCAGACUCAAGGGUCAUCUUUAUUUUAAACCCCGGGCCAGUGUUCCUCUGAGUGCUGCUCCAAACUAGAGCCACUUGCAGCGCCACCUCGGGGAAACUCGAGGUCUGGUUUUAGUUGUACGUAGUGUUCAUCCGGUGUGCCCUGAGAACGAGAUAUGUGCAGCUCCUAUCAGGAUUUGUCGGCACAUUCGCGCGGCUUUGCUGGUCUUGUUUUACCAUUGUCGAAAUGUCUUGUAAACUGGGAUUCCGAGACUGAUCGGGUCUUCCCGGGAGAAGGUUUAUCCUUCGUUGACCGUGAGAGCUUUUAAUGGGCUAAGUUGGGACACCCCUGCAGGGUAUUAUCUUUCAGAAGCCGUGCCCGCGGUUAUGUGGCAGAUGGGAAUUUGUUAAUAUCCGGUUGUAGAGAACUUGACACUUGACCUUUAUUAAAAUGCAUCAACCGCGUGUGUAGCCGUGGUGGUCUCUUCUCGGCGGAGUCCGGGAAGUGAACACGGUUUCUGGGUUAUGUUUGACGUAAGUAGAGGUUCAGGAUCACUUCUUGAUCAUUGCUAGCUGGCGACCAUUCCAUUGCUCCUCUUCUCGCUCUUAUUUGCGUAUGUUAGCCACCAUAUAUGCUAGUGCUUGCUGCAGCUCCACCUCACCACCCCUUUCCUUCCUAUGAGCUUAAAUAGUCUUGAUCUCGCGGGUGUGAGAUUGCUGAGUCCUCGUGACUCACAGAUACUUCCAAACAGUUGCAGGUGCCGAUGAGACCAGUGCAGGUGACGCAACUGAGCUCAAGUGGGAGCUCGAUGAAGAUCUUGUUCGUUGUGUUGUUUCUUUUCAUGUUGUUCAGUAGUGGAGCCCAGUCGGGACGAUCGGGGAUCUAGCAGUUGGGUUGUCUUCUUUUCUUUUGGUUCCAUAGUCGGACCUAUGUGUGUAUCUUGAAUGUUGUAUGAUUCUAUUUAUUUAUUGUGUGAAGUGGCGAUUGUAAGCCAACUCUUUAUCCCAUUCUUGUUCAUUACAUGGGAUUGUGUGAAGAUGACCCUUCUUGCGACAAAACCACAAUGCGGUUAUGCCUCUAAGUCGUGCCUCGACACGUGGGGGAUAUAGCCGCAUCGUGGGCGUUACACUAAGGUAGCCUGCUUAUCCGAAAUUUCAGCAAUUAAUUUCUCGAGAUGAGCAAUCUGAGAUUUCAACCCAUAAAAUUCCUUAGACAUAUCGUCGAGCUCUUUAUUCAUGUAACCCAUAAAGCUUUUUUGUUCUUUACGCUCAGUUCUAAAGAAAUUGUUAUGCUCAAAUUGUAAAGUCAUGAAACUUCUAACAUUGUUUUCAAUCUCCUCUAACCUUUUAAGGUGAAGAUCACCAAAUCUAGGCAGGGCCAUAGUGGCGAGCAAGCGAUCCAACACACGAGCAAACAAGAAGCGAGCGAAAAAGAGGCGAAUGGAAAAAGAGAGGGCGAAUAAAACGGCAAGGGUGAAGUGGGGGAGAGGAAAAUGAGAGGCAAAUGGCAAAUAAUAUAAUGCGGGAGAUAAGAGUUUGUGAUGGGUACUUGGUAUGUUGACUUUUGCGUAGACUCCCCGGCAACGGUGCUAGAAAUCCUUCUUGCUACCUCCUGAGCACUGCAUUGGUUUUCCCUUGAAGAGGAAAGGGUGAUGAAGUAAAGUAGCGUAAGUAUUUCCCUCAGUUUUUGAGAACCAAGGUAUCAAUCCAGUAGGAGGCCACACUCAAGUCCCUUGCACCUACACAAACAAAUAAAAAUCUCGCAACCAACACAAUAAAGAGGUUGUCGAUCCCUUCACGAUCACUUACGAAAGUGAGAUCUGAUAGAUAUGAUAAGAUAAUGUUUUUGGUAUUUUUAUAAUAAAGAUGCAAAGUAAAAUAAAGCAAAAUAAACGGCGCCAGAAAUAGCUAAGUGUUGGAAGAUUAAUAUGAUGGAAAAUAGACCCGGGGGCCAUAGGUUUCACUAGUGGAUUCUCUCAAGAGCAUAAGUAUUAUGGUGGGUGAACAAAUUACUGUUGACCAAUUGAUAUAAUUGAGCAUAGUUAUGAGAAUAUCUAGGUAUGAUCAUGUAUAUAGGCAUCACGUCCGUGACAGUUAGACCGACUCCUGCCUACAUCCACUACUAUUACUCCACACAUCGACCACUAUCCAGCAUGCAUCUAGAGUAUUAAGUUCAAAAGAACAGAGUAACGCUUUAAGUAAGAUGACAUGAUGUAGAGGGAUAAACUCAUGCAAUAUGAUAUAAACCCCAUUUAUCCUCGAUGGCAACAAUACAAUACGUGCCUUGCUACCCCUGCUGUCAUUGGGAAAGGACACCGCAAGAUUGAACCCAAAGCUAAGCACUUCUCCUAUUGCAAGAAAGAUCAAUCUAGUAGGCCAAAUCAAACAUAAUUCGAAGAGACUUGCAAAGAUAACCAAUCAUACAUAAAAGAAUUCAGAGAAGAUUCAAAUAUUGUUCAUAGAUAAACUUGAUCAUAAACCCACAAUUCAUCGGUCUCAACAAACACACCGCAAAAGAAGAUUACAUCGAAUAGAUCUCCACAAGAAUUGUGGAUAACUUUGUAUUGAGAUCCAAAAAGAGAGAAGAAGCCAUCUAGCUAAUAACUAUGGACCCGAAGGUCUGAGGUAAACUACUCACACAUCAUCGGAGAGGCUAUGGUGUUGAUGUAGAAGCCCUCCGUGAUCAAUGCCCCCUCGGGAAGGACGCCGGAAAAGACCCCAAGAUGGGAUCUCACGGGUACAGAAGGUUGCGGCGGUGGAAUUAGGUUUUCGUGGAUGCUUCUGUUGGUUUGGGGGUACGUAGGUAUAUAUAGGAGGAAGAACUACGUCUGUGGAGCAACGUGGGCGCCGCGAGGGUGGAGGGCGCGCCGGGGGGGGGGGGGGUAGGCGCACCCCCCUGCCUCGUGCUCUCCUGGUUGCUUUCUUGACGUAGGGUCCAAGUCCUCUGGAUCACGUUCGUUCCGAAAAUCACGUUCUCGAAGGUUUCAUUCCGUUUGGACUCCGUUUGAUAUUCUUUUUCUGCGGAACUCUGAAAUAGGCAAAAAAACAGCAAUUUGGGCUGGGCCUCCGGUUAAUAGGUUAGUCCCAAAAAUAAUAUAGAAGUGUAUAACAAAGCCCAUUAAACAUCCAAAACAGAAUAUAAUAUAGCAUGAAGCAAUCAAAAAUUAUAGAUACAUUGGAGACGUAUCAGCAUACAGUUGAUCCAUCCGACCUGCUUGCGAUGGAAUAUGCCGCGUGAGUUGUGGGCAAACACUUGCUAGUAUUCAACCAUUUGCGAUUGAUGAAUUCAUCACCGAUGGGUUCCCUAGUGUGGUCCGUGUUCAUCUGAUCAUCAUCUACUUCUUGUGCUAGCUCGAUGUUCCUUCUAUGCUAAGUUUCCAUUAAUUGAUGGAGUUUUUUAUGAACACGCCAUCGUUUCCCGCCACCCAGCGAUAUUGUGCAUAAACCUAGGCGGCGUGCGAUGCACGGAGGCGACAAGCGCAGCCUGUAGCACAUCCACCUUUUCCAAGCAUGCGAACCCACCAAAGCGCUGCCUCUACCAUCAACCUCGUUGACGAGGAAAACGAGCAGGCGCCACGGCCCGUCGAGGCCGAGGCGCUCCCCGGCAACGUGAUGGACGAUGCCGCGAUGCGCGUCAUCGCCAGGGUUAAGCAGACCUUUGGCGCAUGGCGCUUGAGCGCCGCGGAUCAAGAUAGGCAUGUCAGCGCCGACAGGCUGCAGCUCGUCGCACAACAUGAUCGAUGGCGCGCCGCAGAGCAAGGUAGGCGCGUCCGCGCCGAUAGGCUGCGGCUCGCCGCACGGCGAGACCGUUGGAGCGCCGCAGAGCGAGAGGCGCGGCGCGCCGCAUAGCAAGAGCGGAUCCAUCGGUGCUUGCCUGCUGUCGACACGGCGUCGCAGCUGGGUACACGUCCCGUCAGUACCCCCAUUUAGUCCUGGCCAUCUCCGGCCCGGCCCUGUCGGCCCACCCAGGCUCGACCCUAAAAUCUAGGGCCUAGGCCCGAUGGGCUUUUCCGUGGGCCAGACUUGGGCCUGAGUUUUGAGCCCACUAGCAGGGCCUGGACGGGCUUGGGCUUAGCAUAUUGGCAUUUUAAGGAAGAGGCUCGGCCCAUGGCCCUAAGCCCGAAGGGAUUUUCAGGGCUUUUUACCAGAUGGGCCGGGCUUGGGCUUGAAAAGUAGGCCCAAUGAUAGGGCCUGGGAGGGCCUGGGCCUCAGUUUUCUGCCAUGGGCUUUUUUAGGCCCGGCCCAAGCCCGGCCCGGCGCAUGGCCAGGUAUACCCCCAUUCCUCGCCAGGAGUGGGCAGAGGCCCUCAGCGCCGUACUUGCACCAGAGGCCGCCUGCGCCGUACUUGCACCGGACGCCCGCCGCGCCGUUCGCAUGGGUGGCGCCGUUCGCCUUGUCCGCGGCCCGCUGGAUGCCAACGCACUGGUCCAUAGGCUCGACCACCUCCUUGGCCCAGGUGUCCACCUAUGCGUAGUAGAGGAACAUGGCCGUCGCAUCCUCGAGCUAGUGAUCACCGAUGAAAUAGCCAACUUGGAGUUCGAGAUCGCGCUCCAGAUGUACCGCGAGCGUGUCAACCGCUUGGACGAACGCCUUCACGAGUUCAGGCAGAGCCAAGAGCUACCGUAGGCAAGGGUUGCUGGUCAUGGUCUCAUGGACGCGUUUUAUUUUGUUGAGUCGUUUUGACGUGGAUAGCUAUGUAUUCACAACAAUCAUAGUAUUGCUCCGUUUAUUCCUCUGUUUCAAUGUGUGUACUCUGUUUUUCGUUCUUAUAUGUUCUGUUUCAAUGUGUGUAUAUACGCUUUCCAUUCUGUAUAUGUGGACGAUAACAAUUAAAUUCAAAUUAGUAUAAAAAACAGAUAGGAAAUGGAAUUCAUAAUAUAUAUAUAUAUAUUAAUUGUUCCUUAGUUCAUCACAAAAAAAAAA